RNAcentral lists this long non-coding RNA (53617 nucleotides) under Sorghum bicolor (sorghum). RNAcentral describes it as "long non-coding RNA (SBIC_LNC013492)". The record is from RNAcentral. Lineage: Eukaryota; Viridiplantae; Streptophyta; Magnoliopsida; Poales; Poaceae.
UUUCAUUAAGUGGAAAUGAUCGUAGAAAGUACACGGAAACAACAAGCCAAAGGACAUCUCUCUCACACACACGUACGACACGGACGUACAUACGGAGAGAUUUUUUAUUCAGUAUACGACGUAGCAGUAUAUAUAGUAGACAACUCAUCAUCACCCGUAGAUAGAUAGAGACUCAAGCAUGGUCGUCGUCGAUGCUCCGGCGCCGACGACGGCGGCGGAAUGGAUCAUCGAUCGACGAUCAUCAGGUCGUCGUUUCGGUUUAGCUCACCCUGGAGCAGUCGGUGGAGGUGCUGAUGGUGUAGGGGAUGCUGACGCCGCACUUGGAGGGGAUGCUGGCGGCCUUGCCGACGUUGAGGCCGCGGAUGCCACGGGCGGCGUUCUUGAGGCAGUUGCAGGCGGCGCGCCUGUCGGCGGUGGUGCGGGCGGCGGAGUUGAGGCUCCUGACGCCGCUGCAGCAGCCUGCGGAGGGUCCAGAGCCCUGGCCGCGGGCGUAGGACAGGCAGGGCCCGAUGGCGGAGCUCACCUGACCGCAUGUCACGGCGGCCUCCGAGGUCGUCGCCGCCAGCACCACCGCCGCCACGACGGCGAUCGCCACAGCAAGCUUCAUGCUGCGAGCCAUGUCGAUCUCGAUCGACCUCCUGUGAUAUAUGUGCUGAUGCUCGUAGGUGACUGAUAGCUUUUGGGAUGCAGUGAGUGAGCAAGUGCUAGCUGGUGAGGAGAUUGCAAUGGAAUGUUGCUCCUUAAAUAGGCAGGCUUUGUGAUCGAUGUGUGAGCUAGCUAGCGAUUGCUGAUGAGUGAUGUGCAUGCAUGGGAUGGGUGUGCAUGCUGUUUCAGUCGGUGGAUGCAUGCAUAUGCGUAUAUGUCCAUGGAUCGAUGGUAUCUCUCGCCAUGCAUCGAAGUUAACUGCUGGGGAGGAGGUGGUUGGGUGUUGAGGGAGGAGGGCAGAUGCUUGUUUAGUUGUUGUAAUACCCGAUUUUAAGGACAAAACCAGAUAUGCACCAUAUGUGAGUUUUAAAAGCCAAAUCUCACAUAUAGCUACAAAUAAGGGGUAAUAUCAAAAGACAAUGCAAAAAUUAUAUAACGUACAUAAUAUAAAAGAGAUAACCUUUGAUAGCAAACAACGGAUAGACAACUCCAAACUCCGGGUAUUAACUUCUCUCUACAGGAUCCAACUGACUGGUUGAUCACAAGCCUAAACUUCUCCUGAGGUUUGGGGGAAAUAGCAAGAGUGAGUCCAUGUCAAACUCCACAAGUAUAGCAACUAGAUUGUAUAGCUCCCACAAUCUCAUGAUCAAUGUGACAUAAAUAAUGUAAAGCAUUAAACAAUAAGCAAUGAGCAUAUUUAACACACAAGAUUCAUCACCCUUAAUGUAGAUGUCCCCAAGGCCGUUCCUGACCGUGAGCUCGGCUAGUAUACUAGUUUUAACACUCUGCAGAGGUUGCACAUCUUUACCCAUGAGUCAUGAUUUACCCUUUCGCCCGAGGUGAUCAGCCUCUUAACCCACUUCCAAGGAAGGUCGGCAGGGAUCACUAUGAAGCCUUUCAAAAGUUCGUCUAACAUGUUAGGGCCGCAAGGUUUCCUUUGCGAGCAGAUAUAGAUACCCCCCUUCCGAAUGGCACAAUGACGCGCAGCCUAUACACAUAGGGACAGGGGCUCGCACUAUACCCGUGUCGGUUCAGCCCCUCCGCCCUUUCGGGUAACCUCUAACAAGCUAGAAAAGGUCUUCAUACUGAGCUAAAGCCAGAGCCAUUAUAGCCCUCAUGGUUGCACUGUUAUCCCGGGUGAUCACGUACAGACAAAUCAUCAAGUUGUUAAAAAGUCAUUUUUACCAUUUAUUACUUAACAUUAAUCUAGUCACAGGAUCAUGGUCACAGAAAUAAAAUCCAAAUGCUAUACUUGCCUCAAUCCAAUUGCUCUUGCUUAUCCUUUUGGUCCUGCUGGUCUCACUUGUUGCCAAAGCUUUGAUCUUGAUCACCGAAACUGCUCUCCGUCUAAACUCGAUCAUCGAUCAUCAACACACAAACAAUCGGACACAACAUACACGUAGCAAACAAGGCUAUAAUUAGAACAGUACACCAAUCAUAUAAAAACAAUAUGAAAAAUUUGUAAAAUAAUUCUACGCAUCGCUACGAUCUCACAGACGUAAAGAUGACGAAAAUCGGAGUUAAAACGGAAAAGAUAUGGAUUUUCUAAGAUUUUAUAUAGAAAAGUAAUUAAUUAAUUAAGGUCACGAAAUUAAAAGGUUUCAAACUGAGUGAACAAUAUUACUAACAUGUAGUGCUCGUGAUUACGAACCUAACACAAUUUCAAUGGACAAAACGGAGUUAAAACAGAGAUGAUAUGGCCUAAAUAAACUAGCGUAUUUUCUUUGUAUUUUUAGGUUUGUUUUUCUAAAGGAAAACGGCAAUAAAACAUGUCUAUGUUAUAACGACGUCAUCAAGCUAGCCAGCAACGUUUAUUCGCAGAUAUAUGUUAGACAUGUACAUCCCUAGAUCGAUUGCUGCGCAGAUAGAAACAUCGCCGGGCGAAACAAAUCAGUGCAUGCACUUGUAGAGGCUUUGUGAAAUUUCUCACACAGGAAUCGACAUAUUAAAGAUGCAAAGUUACCUCUUAUGGUGAUUAUAAGAUUCAAUAGGACAUGCUUGCCGAACGAUGGGUCAGUGGCCACGUCGUCAAGAACAGGUUGAUCUACGGCAACACCUUCUACUCCCGUGCUCUGUUGCUUGCUACUCUUCACGUGGCCAGCGAUUUGGUCUUCUGCUUCUUUGGUCCACAAUCACGAUGGUUCACCGGAACAUGGCAAGCAGCUCUGGCAAGCAGGACGUGGCAAGAGCAGAGCGGCGGCCGUAACAUGGCAAGGGCAGCAUCUAUCUAGGCAUGGCCGACGGCGGCGGCUCUCAAGGGUUUUAAGGACGUAAACACUCUAGACGAAUAUGACGUGUAUAUAUACGUGCGGUCUAGAUCAAGUUUGAUUAGGGUUAGAACUUAUUAUUUUUGGAAUUAAUUAUUUUCAUGGAUAAAAUAAUUAUAGAAAAGUCCAGAAUUAUUAUUUAAACUAUGAAAAAUAUUCUAAAAGCUCUGAAAAUUCGGAGAAAAUUCUCAGAGACAUUAUGGAAUAUGAGGAACUCAAAUAACGUAUUUGGACCUCAUGAUAAGAUAAUUUGGAGCAUCUAAAAAUUAGAUUUAUGCUCAUAGAAAAGUGAGAAUAGAAGAUGGAAAAAUUCCCGAAAAGUUUGUAGAGAUUGCUUGAUGGACGAGGAACUAAAAGAAGUGCUUUGAGUGACAAAGAAAAGAUUUUAGGAAGCUCCUAAUAAAAAAUUGAGCUGAGAAACCAAAGAAUUUGGUUAUAGAUAAAGAUAAAGACGUACUGGUCAAGGAAGAUCUACUAAACGCAUUUUAAAACUUUGCUCACUCAACACAUAAAGGAGCAACAAGUCAACAUCACAUCAAAACAUAUGCACCAGCAUGUAUGCACAACAAUAUUGCUAAGGCUUAUGAUAAAUUUUAAUUUAAUGAAAAUUAUUAUUUUCCUUAUAUUUUCGUGAGCACAAAAUACAAAACUGAAUAAAUUUUCAUCUAUUUUGAAAAGAGCAAAAUUUAGGGUGUUACAGUUGUCAAAAUUUUUUAAAAUUCUCAAUCAAAUUAAAUCUUGGGACACAAUGUAUCAAAUAUUAAAUAUAGAUAAAAAUUAAUUAAUUAUAUAGUUUGUAUAUAAUUUGCGAGAUAAAUUUUGUAAACCUAGUUAAUCUAUAAUUAAACAAAAAUUAUUAAAUAUAAACGGUGCUAUAGUAACUAGAUCCAAAAAUUUUCACCAACUAAGGGCUUGUACAACGAUGGGCGCUUAUGAUCAGGUAUUGGCCGUUAAAUAGUUUUUUUGCCACACGGUGGAGUCCUGAGCGGGCGCUUAAAAAUAGAUUUGCCGCUCCGUAAAGCAUCGACGCCUAGACCGGCUCCUUGCUUGAUACUGGUGUUUGCAUGCGACGUAACGGUCACAACUUAAGCGCCUUCAAAUACGUGUUGUGUUGUAGAUUAAGGUUAUAAAGAGACGCUUAGUUACAAAAGUAUUUUCUCUUUCCAUCUAAGCGCCUUUUGCAUUGUACGUGCUCUAAACAAGGCCACAGAUACAGACAUACAGUGGUUAGCUGAGGCAGAGUGAAAUCAUUAGCAGCAAACAUAUAAUAAAUAGCAGCCGCCUAGCACGACUUAGCGCCACUUAAGUUUUGUUUAGUUACGCUCGAAAUCCAAAAACUUUUCAAGGUUCUCUUCACGUCGAAUUUAGAGACACAUACAUGUAGCACGACUUAGCGCCACUUAAGUUUUGUUUAGUUACACUCGAAAUCCAAAAACUUUUCAAAGUUCCCUUCACGUCGAAUUUAGAGACACAUACAUGAAGCAUUAAAUAUAAAUAAAAAAAUAACUAAUUACAUAAUUUAUCUGUAAUUUGAGAGACGAAGCUUUUGAGUCUAGUUAGUCUAUAGUUGAACAAUAAUUAUCAAAUAUAAAAAAAAAUGUUAUAGUACCAAAAAAAUCUUUUCACUCACGAACUAAAUAAAGGCCCUAAUCUCAUCAUCCGCCUCACUGUUUAAUCGAAUGUCCUUGAUGGCCACCCACAGGCUCACAAAACCUGAGACGGUGAGACCUUGCCUGGGGUAGUAUAUGGGGCCAAUGGCCAAUCCAUUUAUCAGUUUGCCCAAGGCAGGUGGUGGGCCACUCUGUUCAAUUUUGAGUCUAAUAUAUGCAAUAUCUUCUCUUUUGUGCAAUUUUUGUCCGUGGGUUCAAACAAUCCUGCCACCGUGUCACCGGUGGCUGAUCGUGUCAACCCUUCGCCGCAGUCCGCUCCACCACAGUACGGGGGGCCCAGUUGCAGUCUCUGCCACCGCAGUAGGGAUGUUGAACUUGUAAUAAUAAAUAUGUGAGUGCUUUUAAUAUAUAAUGCAUGUUGGUGAUAUAGAUGUGAUAAUUGGCGUGUGUGUAUAUAUAUUGUCUGUUACAAUGGAAUGUAAAAAAUAAAACAAAUACAAUUCUCGGGGUCUUCGCCGAGUGCGGUGCCAGGGUCACUUGGCAAAGCAAUUUAAAAAAACAAUUUUGCCGAGUGUCGGGGCCACGACCACUCGGCAAAGAAUUUUUCUUUAAAAAAGAAAAGACACUUUGCCGAGUGCUGAUGCUAGGGGCACUAGGCAAAGUAUUUUUAAAAAAAACAAAUAUGCGGAGUGCCGCGGCAAGGGACACUCAGCAAAUAUUUUUUUUUUAAAAAAAAAGAAAGAAAAUCUUUGUCGAGUGCCUGAGGCCAGAGGCACUUGGCAAAGCAAUUUUUUUUAAAAAAACUUUGCCGAGUGUUAAGGGGCCAGGGGCACACGGUAAAAUAUUUUUUAAAAAACAAAAACUUUGUCGAGUGUCGUGUCGGGCAACUCGGCAAAAUAACUGUUAACGGCAGAUGCUGUGACGGCCAAAAAUGUUGCCGAGUGCUGUCGUAAGCACUCAGUAAAAUGUUUUUAAUAUUUUGCUAAGUGCCUCGGUAAAAAGCACUCAGCAAAGUCUCUUUGUCGAAAAUUUUUUUGCCGAGCGAACUUUGCUGAGUGCUACGUUCGGCAAAGCCUUUGCCGAGUGCAAAGGGCUCUUUGUCGAAUGUAAAAACACUCGGCAAAGUCCUAAUUUCCAGUGGUGGGUGUGCUGGGACAAUUUAGAAAGCAAGCAACGAUUUCAUUUUGCGUUAGAUCACUCCCAUCCUCGAAGCCUCAGUUUUUUUUUUCAGAAAUAAGUUCCAGCUGUUGCUGCUGAGAACUAAAAGAAGCUUUUCACCCUUGAUUGAUCAAUGGAUUGGCUCUCUAGUUUAACAGGCUUCUUUGUUGUACUCUUUUUGCUCUUUUUUCCUUAGUUUUUUUGUUCCUUAGUUAAGACUCCACCCUACUGCCUCCUUAACUGUUGUGCUUUUUUUUUUGUAAAAGACCUUUUUUAUUAUAAUUUUUGCAUUGUUGUAGGGGUGCAAACCCCUCCAAUCUCCUUCAAAAAAUUCAAAAGUAAUAUAACCUUGCAGAACAAAGGACGGUAAUCCCACCAUUUUGCUAUGUGAGCCCACUCCUCUUAUUUUUUUUACUUUUAUUUUGAUUAUGCCCACUCCUGUUAAGCAGUCAUUUGUUCCAUUCCCUAAAUAUAUUUCUAUUUUUUAGAAUAUUCAAUAAGGCGUAUAUACAUUAUAUUUUAAGAAAUAAACUAUAUUCAAGACAAAUCUACCCACAUCAAUAUUACUUGUAUACAUUCAAAUAAACAUGUAGACAUAAUAAUUCGAUAGUUAAGGUUUCAAAAUGAUUGAAAUAAGACAACUUGAAAUAUGUCACAAUAAAAAAUUAUUUGUGGUCAAAGUUUCUGAAAUUAUUGACUUACGACAACGUACAUCCAAGUGUCACUUAAUUGCUUUGUGAGCAGAGGGAGUAUAUAUUUUGGCAAGUUACCCUCCAUCUAAAAAUAUAAAACACAUGUUUUUAGGACAGUAAGAUUUGACCAAUAGGUGCUUGUGCCAUUAAUAUGCAUAAAUCAUAGAUACUUUUGAAUACAAAUAUCUAGUUACAUCAAUUUGCUACCACAAAAUUGCAAGUAUCUUGGUUAAAGCCAUGUCUAACAAAACAUGAGCUUUGGGAUGGAUAUAUAUCAUAUUGGUGUGUACGUUUAGUAGUCUCUCUUCGUUUCAAUUUAUUAGAUGUUGUUUUGGCUUUUGUAGAUACAAAAAUUUUUUUAUGUAUCUAGAUAACGUUUAUUAUGAUAUAGAUAUAUCGUAUAUCUAUAUGCCUAAAAAACUGAAUAUCUAGAAAAACUAAAAUAACCUAUAAUUUAGGAUAGAGGGUGGUAAUAAUUAUACAUCUUCUGCUACCAAGUCCCUUAAUUACAGCACACAGCUCUGUUUUCUAGUUGCCUUGAUCGUUCAUCAGAUGAAUUAUGUAUUUGAAGAGUAGCGCGUGUGUGGUCAUGUCAUGAAAACGUGCUAGCUAGGUACUUGUUUUAAUUUCCACCGUGUGAGUAUUUUUUUUUUUCAAGUGGCGAGAGUUCAUUAAUUAAAUAAAACCAUUCAAUUUUUCAAAUCACAAUACGUUGUCUGCAAAUCCUCUGAGUCAGCCAGUUUUUCGUUACGUGCUAUACUCCGUCCAUUCUAAAUUAUGUUUUUUAAACUUUUUGGUAUAUUCAUUUUGCUACAUACUAAAAAAAUUAAAAAUAACUUAUAAUUUAGAACAGAAGAGGUAUAUAUAUAGUUGCAUAUAUGCUGACAAGUGUUUGGGGGAGAAUAGAGCAGUAACUCUCUUGACCAAGCGUUUGGGAGUCAUGGAACACAGUCACAUGGCGCAUGCAUGCGUAACAACAAUUUGGAAACAAAGAGAUGUGUGUGUGCAUGUAGCAGUGAUCGAACUAGUACAAACCACAGGAGCGAGAGGAAACGUACACGGACAUAAAUAAUAAACACCGCACAUAGUGCAUGCACUCAAAAAUAAACCCAACAAGCAAAAGUACAUCUCUCACACACACAUGUACACACGCACGUACGUACAUACGCUAAGAUGCAAGCGUAUCACAGCGUACACGACGACACGUACGUACAUACGGAGAGAUUUUUAUUCAGUAGUACGACGUAGCAGUAGUAGACAACUCAUCAUCUCAUCAUAUCAGGCGUAGAUAGAUACUCAUCCAUGGUCGAUGCUCCGGCGCCGAUCGACGACGACGGCGGCGGCGGCGGAAUGGAUCAUCGAUCGAUCGAUCAUCGUUUAGGUUUAGUUCACCCUGCAUGAUCAUGCAUGCAUGGAAGACGAAGCACAAGUUAAUUAAACGACUUGAUAUUCAAGUUGAAUCAGACCAUGCAUGCAUGCAAAGUUGCAAACAACUUGUAGUGAUUGGAUCAUUCAUUCAGAUCAUCACUUAAUUACCUGGAGCAGUCGGUGGAGGUGCUGAUGGUGUAGGGGACGCUGACGCCGCACUUGGAGGGGAUGCUGGCGGCGUUGCCGGCGUUGAGGCCGCUGAUGCCACGGGCGGCGUUCUUGAGGCAGUUGCAGGCGGCGCGCCUGUCGGCGGUGGUGCGGGCGGCGGAGUUGAGGCUCCUGACGCCGCUGCAGCAGCCUGCUGAGGGUGCGGAGCCCUGGCCCCGGGCGUAGGACAGGCAGGGCGCGAUGGCCGAGCUCACCUGCCCGCAGGAGAUGGCCGCCUCCGAGGUCGUCGCCGCCAGCACCACCACCGCCGCCGCCGCCACCACGGCGAUCGCCACAGCAAGCCGAGCCAUGUCGUCGAUGUUCUGGGGGUGUCUGAGACUUGCUUGUACUAGCUUUGGAAUGCAAGUGAGCAAGUGCUAGCCGCUGGUGAGGAGAGUGAGAUGGAGUGUGGCUCCUUAAAUAGGCAGGCUUGCGAUCGAUCUGAUCUGAUCUGAUCUGGGAGCUAGCUACAGUAGCUUGUCAUUGCUGAUGACAGAUGUGCAUGCAUGCACGGUGUUGUUGCAUUGCAUGCAGUUUCAGGCAGGCAGUCGGUGGAAUGGUGGAUGCAUGCAUAUGAAUGAAUGAAUAUGGUGGAUGUUCCAACAUCAUCUUCCAUGGACGACGGACGGUAUCGUCGCCAUCCGUCGAAGUUAAUUGCUGGGCAGGAGGUGGUUGGGUGUUGGGAGCAGGAGGCAGAUAGAUACAGAUAAUACUACAGCGGUUAGUUGAUGAGGGCAUGAUCGAGGCAGAGUGAAUUCAUUUGCAGCAGCAAUAGCAACUUAUUAGGGUAUGUUAUACUAUAACACUUUCGUUUAUAUUUAGCAAUAAAUAUUUAAUUAUAGACUAACUAGACUCAACAAGUACUUUAUCUCGCGAUUUACAUAUACAAACUAUGUAGUUAAUUAUUUUUUUUUUAUUUAUAUAUAUUUUAUGUUUCGUACAUGCGUCUAAAGAUUCGAUGCGACGAGAAAUCUUAUAAACAUUUAGAAUUUUAAAGACAUUUAAACACGCCCUUAAAUAGCAGCCGCCUAACACGACUUAGCAGGCAGGGUGAUGGCGGCAGUCGGCAGGGACGGACGUACGUGGCUCUCAUCUGAUGAAGUUGGAGGCGUAUUCACUCUCUCUCACUAGUGUGUCAGUGUGAGGUAGUUUGCAGUUGGAUCCGAGUGCUUAUCGCACAAUAAACACAUACUCUUCCUGCAUUAAGACGUCAAUUAUAUAUGGAUCGUCCAUCAUCCAUGAAUCCUUCCAGUAGUCUUCGUUAAUUCCUCCCGGCCGCAACCAGAAACAGAGAUAUCAGUACAGUGCAGGAGGUUACAUGCACAUUCACAAAUUGAAGUUGCAGCAGUGGUAGCGAUUAAGUUGUCCAGCAAGUAUGGGAGCCCACAUGUCGCUGUCUCGAUCGGAAGCUCCGCCACGUAUUACAUACAUGCAUCCCGUCCCCAACCUAGCUAGCUACCUCUGUGUGCACAGGCAGGUACCACCGACGGUUUCCCAAAACUCGUAUGUGUCCGACCCUCAAAAACAAAUCUCUCAAUUUUUGUUCAAAACAAACAAAUUUUUUAAAAUUUUAGAUUCAAAAACAAACAACUUUUGACCAUCAAAGAAAAAUACUGCUCUACCUCGAUCCGUUCUAAAAAGAACUUGGGAUUAUAUUCUAGAAAGUAACAGAUAGAUUCGUGUGUAAUGUUUAGAGAUGAGAUCUUGUAUGAAAAGAUUGGUUGAUGCGUAUAGAGCAACUUCAACCAAACUUCUAAAUGAACCUCUACCUUUUUAUAUAAAGGGGCUAAAACUCAAAUAUACUCUCGAACUGAUCCGGUCCCGACGGAGAGGGGCUCCCAUUUAUCUUUCCUCUAGAUGUAUGAGGCGGUGUUUCGGAUGGUUUGAUUCAAUUCCUUGCAGCUGCUAUUCAAUGAUGUCUUAACUGUAGCUCAUUUCUACCACUCUUAAUUAUGUAUGGCGAAGAGAAGAUUAAGCUCCCAAUCGAGUCCGAGUUGGAGGAUUUCGGUGCAACGUGGAGUUUGAUCUCUGCAUGGAUCGUUAAAUCUAAGUUGAGGUCAAUGUUUGUACUACAGAUCAUAGUACAUUGUGGUUGCCCUUGUUUGUAUGAGAUCUAGUGUAGAAUUUGUUGAUACUUUGUUGGCUACACAUUUGAUGGUUCCUUUCACUUAGGUUUCUUGGAUGAGCAGUUGUAAAUGCCAUUGCUUUCAUUAGUCGGCAGUUUGGUGCGCAUAGUGGUGUUCACAUGUGCUAGUUGCUCAUUUAGUGAUUGUGGUUCCUGAAUUAUGUGUUUGAGGUGGAGCACAUUUAGAAAGUAUGGAUUUGCAUUCUUCACUAUCUGUUCAAUUAAUGCCUUAGGUGAUUUCUUCGCAUACCCUUUCGUGAUCGAGCAAUUUGUUCAGACUUGGGUUAGAAGGCAGUAGCACAUGCUCAAACAUUUGCUGCGGUUAGAAUUUGUCGAAGACUCAGUUUUGUUCAUCUGAAUUUGGUGAGACACGAUUUGAACUUCCUAGUUAUUCUUGCUUGCUCGAUUUGGUAGCUUCUUGUGAAGCAUUUGUUGGUGGUUUUGUUAGUGUAUUUGACUUGGUGUUGGAGAUUUGAGCAUUUUGCAUCAUGAUCAUUGGUGUGUUGGCCAUGUUGUUCACUCAUUGGAGUUCACUCAUGAAUUUGUUUCUAGCUUCAUCAUUUGCCAAGUCAAAACAAGCUACCUUCAUGUUGGAGGCGAUAAAUUUGUCUUUUUUAUUAUUUAUUUGAAGAUGAAGGAUUUGAAGAUUGGACUUCCCUCAUCAAGAAUCUUGAUGUGUUCGCUCUAUGGUUCAAUCGUCGCCGAGGUAUAGAAUUGUGAUGUUGCAGCUUCUAAUAACACCAUUUGAGGCUUUACAUUAUGCAGAAUGUUACCUAUAUGUUUGGUUAGGUGUCUAGGAACUUAUUUGUGGUAAUCUGUAACUUUGAGAGCCUUUUAAUGAAAUGCCCAAACCAGCCCAAAAAGGGCAUCCCAAGCUCCCUGCUUCUGUAGGUGCAUGCUCUUCCCCUUUGGGGGGUUGAGAGAGGCCGGGAGAGGAGAUUUGAGGGUGGGGCUUUGUUUUACCAAAUCUGAACAUUAUAGAGUGAAAUCGGAGGGGAUUUAGAGCCUUCGCCAACCUUGUUAGUUCACGCCUCUUGUAUCAUCAUCUUCACAGUGGAUUGCUUGCUCGUCGCCGCCUGUGGUUUUUCCUACAAGGGGUUUCCACAUAAAUCUUAGUCUCUACCUAUGAUUCAGUAUUUAUCUUGCCAUACUUGUUGAUUCAUACCAAUCUUGCUUACAUGGUGUCAUUUCUCCAAGUUCAUGGUGUAUGAUUGAUAUUGACGUAUGAUGCAUACAUGCAUUCUCUUAUAUGUUAAUGAUGGGGAUUGAUGUGUUAGUGAGUUCAUAUUUACAAGUAUACUCAUUAUUGUGAAGUUUGCAUAGCACCAUGUCUGAAGAAUUGAUAAUAUGGGUCUGAUUUGUAUUUUGCACAUAAGGUGUUAGUUGAAAUAUUCAUGAGUAACUAGCUUGCUAAUUUUGAUGUUUCCUCUGCCUCUAUGCGCUUACAAUAAGUUUAUGGAAUAAAUUUUAGAUCCUUAAUUGAUAUUUAUCUUUGGAAAUAGAGGAAGUAAUAAAUGGUCCCAAUUUGCUAGCCACUUGUACAUAGUUAUACUAUAUACAAGCUUAUGCAAGUCAAAAUGUAAAAAACAAGAAGAACCAAGAAACAUGAACAAAAUACAUACAUACACUUAUGCAAGAUGUAGUAUAUAACUUUUAGGACAAUAUUUAUUUUGGCUCUGUUUCACUAGUGGAGUAGCUUUUUCCACUGGUAAAGGUAAAAUUGUUUUAGUUGUUUGGUCAAACAACUUCUCUAAUUCUUAAAAACAAAAAAUGACUAUAAUACUCUUUUUUGGCUGGCCGAGCUUUAAAAUUUUUAUCUUCUUUUUUAUGAAUUCUUCUUUAUGUGGCUACCAUCUGUUUGUCCUCCCCGCUUAUCCCCUGGUGCCCCGACCCGUCCACCUCCGCCUCAGCUUUGCCACCUUCAUCCUCAUCCAGCCACCAGAUGUUUCUCCUCAGUGUUCAUCCCAUGGUCCCCGCCCAUCUCCCACCGGUGACUCCACCCCUCACACCUCAAUGACUCCACCCCGCCCUUGUUACAUCAUUCUUCGUUGUAGUUUUGUUUGCAUCCAAUGACUUCAGUCACCCCCACAACUCUAGCCCCAUGCCACACUUGUCAUGGUGCAUGUAUUUGCCGCACCAUGCCUAUACAAAGAUGGCCCUCAUGACUUGAUGGAAGAGCUAAGCAAAGCCAUUUUUAGCUUCCCUAGAUGUGAGCGCGUGUAAGAUCGUGUUUUCCGAAGUUAGCACGAGGAGUAGCAACAGCUUUCAAGAUGGCAACGGGCCCCGAUCCCCGAUGGGGAUUUCAUCCAUUAGGGGACGAGAACGGGAAAAUUUUGAUCCCCGUAGGGGGACUUCAUGAGAAAGAAGGAUCCUCCAUCAGGUGAAGCGGGGAUGCAAACAUUCUAGGCUUCAUCCUUUAGCCUGACCCAACAAAUGAAAUAGGUCCAGUUUCUAACACCUAAAAAAAUCAUAUAAAAGCAAGAGCAUUUGUAACCCUAGUGAUCCACCAUUGCUUCUAGGCUUCUAGCUGAGUUGUCACUUCCACCGGUCCUCCUCCACUCCUCCUGUAUGCCUCUAAAGUCCAAGCUCAUCCUAUCUCCCUCUCUCCCCUCUACCCUCUGUCUCGCACCAACGACGUUGUGGUGGCGGUGAUGCUUGCGGGCUGUGGCCACAUGCUCUGGUAAGCAAGCACUGCUCUAGGGUUGAACCUGACAACAGCGGAGCCACGGAUGAGGUGUUCAAGGGAAGACGUGAAGGGCAACACCAAGGGGUUUAUCGGGGAUAGAGACCCCGCCGAGUGUGUAAUCUCGGGGACAGGGAUGGGGAAAUCUGGUACCCAGGUGCAGGGAUAGGAACAGGGACGGGGAGCGGGGUGUUUUUCUUUUCUCAUGGUCAAAACGUUCAAGCAAAACCUGACGGGGAUAGCCCCGUUGCCAUCUUUAAACGGCUCUCCUUCACCUGUUCGGUAGACGAACACGUAGACCAACUCUAGGAGCAGUUUGAUUUACAUUUCCUGACGGUUGACGGAGUUAGUAAUUAAUUACGUAAGAGUAGUUGAAGGAGCUUCCCGGCACCAUAUACUUGCGAGUGAUAUGCAGGGGUUACAAUAAUUACAGUUUACAAUGCUCGUCUCUUUAAUUAUGCGACGGGACGUGACGAUGGCCCAGCGGCUCAGCUGCAUGCAUGGAUCAAUCGAUCGAUCGCCAAUUAUCAAAAAAACCAAUCGAUCGACAGCUAGGUAAACUACCAGCUGCGGAUUAUAAAUUAUUCACGCUCAUCAUAUACAUAUAUAAUUAUAUAUACACGUACGUACGCUUCUGAGUACGAGCGACGAAAGUGUGGUGCAAGUGCAGCGUACAUGCCGGUACAGCGGCCAUCAUAUCAAGAUAUGUAUCCAUCUCCUACUACUGUACACAUUUGUAUCCUUACGGAGAUACAGUAUAUCAAGAUCAUCCUCUGACUCACUGCAUAGUCUGCACCGCAUCACGUACGUGCCGAAUACGUACAAGACUGAUUCAUGCUACAUAGUACGUGCGCCACACUCCUCGAUCGAUCGGUACAUCUUCACGUGUCCAUGUUCCUCAUCAACGAAUUAAUGCAUUUGUUUUCACAUGCCGCAUGCAUGAGAGUCGUCGGUCGUGGUGCCACUGUGCACACAUGCUUGAGUCCUUUGCUUUUCCUGUGCUCCAAUUCUUUUUUUCCAUAUACUCUACUCCCCGUCCCAAAAAAAGUGUCGUUUUAGAAUUUCAAACAUCUUAUUUGAUCAUCCAUUUUAUUCAAAAUUUUUACAUAAGUAUUAUAAAUUUUGUUAAGACCUAUUUAUCAUUAGAGAUACUUUACUAAUGAUUUAUUUAUUUUAUAAUUUACACAAAAUUUUUGAAUAAGACGAACGAUCAAACACGAUUUCUAAAAAUAAAAAACGUCACUUUUUUUAGAAUGGAGGGAGUACAUUAUUUUCAGAUGCCCAUCCUAGAGUAUGUAGUACCAUUCCAUGUAACAGCUAGUACCUUGUACCUAGGAUGGAGUACGUACUACUCGUGCUUGCAGUAGCGCGCGAAAGUGGACGACAGCACGCCCAUACGGCCAUCCGCUCACCAUUGUCUACAUCCUAGCUUUCUACGUACGUGUGUACCUGUACAUAUAGUCAUAAACCUAUAUCUACAUUUUUUAAUAAUAAUUUAUAUCCAUACCCUAAUAAUUUUAAUAAUAAUGAAUAAUAAAAGAAGCAAAAAAUUUCCCAUCCCUCCUAUUACUGCUUUAAGUAAAAAAAAAGACCUUCACGGACGCGGCAACACUUGUGUUAGGAUGAAAGAUAGAAAUGAGGCACAGCCAAUCUGUCGUCUUGUGAUGAAUUACGAAAAGAAUAUUUGUCAUCAGAUCAGUAGUAGAAUUAACAAUCACACGUAGAACAGACACAAUGAUUUAUGUGAAAGACCUUUUCAAGGCAAGAAGUAAAAACUAUGGAACCAAACGCUCUACUCCAAGCUUCCACUAUAAGUACAAUGAGUGUAGAAGGAGUUUUAUCUAGGGAAUCUAGAGUUAACCAGCGAUAACACAUUCAUCAAAUUACAAACUUGCCAUCAGUUAGAACCACAACCUUCUAACAAUAAGAGGAAUGACAACAACGAAGUAAAGAACUCAUAUAUUUUGUUCCCCUUUGGUAUCAAUUUAUAUCUCAAACUAUAGCUUUAUUGUGCAUUAAUUUUGAAAUGCAUAUAGAUCCACAAGUCCCCUAGCCACUGAUCAAGUUUUAGCUCAAUUGGACACCAUUUCACCAUCCAAAACAAUCAUCUACCAAAAUUUCUCUCUGUCUUGAAACUUAGUAACCAGAGCUGACAAAACAUACCCUUUCAAAUCUGGUGCUCUAAUCAACCGAUCCUCAAACCAACUGAACAUAUCAAACUAACCUAAUUGAGGAAUGAGCUAACCAAGUUUGGUCCCAAUCCAUCUAUGUUUGAGCCUACAAUCACUGGCUUUAAGAUGGCUGGUUAGAGCCACCAAAUCUCGAUAGAUUUGGUUCUUCUUAUUGUUCCUCCUCUUUGUCUAUCACGUUGUGGUGUUCUUGUGUUUCUCAACACCCCUCUCUUAGCUCCAACAACUAAAGGAAUAAAAGCUAGGGUUUUUAUUUUUAGUUUCCAAUUAAGAUUGAUCUUCACCGUUGGUUCCAACUAAAAUCAACAACUCACAAGAACUAGCCUCAGAGUUAUAUUUUCAGCUGCUUUGCGGAGCUCAAGAUCAUCCUCUAUAUGAAGGGACAGACUAGCACUUGUGUCAUAGCUUGGUCGACUGAGCUUGAGAUCCAACGGUGGGGUGGUGGGGCUCUAGAGCCCCCUCCUACGGCUACUGGACCUAUGGAGUCUCCAUAGGAAUUUUUUAUCAUGGAUGCACUUGAGGAGAGGCUGAAGCUAUCUAAAGGUUUAAAGAAAUCUCCCUAGACAUUUUUGCUAGAUCCGUUCCUAUAUGUGAUACAACCAGUGCAUUCAAUAGCCAGUAGCCACCAAAUCACUAGAAUUUAUUUGAUUUAAUUAAAGUAAAGUUUGGUUCCAACUAAAUUAAUAAAUUUAAUAAAAUGAUUAGUUUAUUAUCAUCUACUUUGGUAGAUCCAGACAAUCGCACGAGAAGUUGUAGGUGUGUACUUGUGUUACAGCACAGCAGCAUAUAUGAGCAUAUUCGUUAUGCCAAUAUUAUACACAAAGAAAAAGAGUCAUGGACGAGGCGGCAAUUGCUGUCGGUGGAUGGCUACCUUUCGGAAGCUAGCCACCGUACACACUCUUUUGGCCGGCCGGCGUCGGCGUGCUGCCAAGUGCAACCUCCCCAACGCUAAGCAGGUAGUGAUAUUAAUGCCGCUGCCGGUGAGGCUCGUCGUCGUCGUCGUCGUCGUCGUCGUGUGACACAAACAAGUCUACCAUCACCCAGAGUGGUCCCGGACACUGUAGGACACGCGUAGUGUAUGUACGCAAUGUCGUCGUCUGCUGCCCUGCUCAACGAUGUGUUCUAACUUUAUUACACGGUACCUGUACGAGGGUAGCAGCAGCUGCUCGGCUGCUGCAGGUGGAUCAUGCACACGCGCGCAACUCCAACACUACCCUAAACUUCACUUGGCAAAUCUUGAAUUUUGCAAAGUGUAAAACUCAAAUGCCAAGUGAAAAAAAGAGGCUUCUGUUAGCUAUUUCUUUUGACAAAUUUGGACUAUCUUGUGAUUCCUGAAAAAAUCAGAGAGACUUUUAUACAAAAGUUGCAAUCUAUUUAAGGCAUGCGUGCAUGCUGAAUGUGUGGGUCCCACCGCGUAGGCAGGAUGCCAAGCGCUCCCAACGCUCUUAAAUUUGAGCCAGUUGGCCCUCUUUUUGCCAAGCAUCCUAUUUUGCCAAGUGCAUAUAGAGUAGUGUUGGAGGAGCUUUUCCAUGUUUUGCCAAAAAUUAGGAUUUGCCAAGUGCAUAUAGGGUAGUGUUGGAGUUGCUCUAAGGACGUCCAGAACAGCCAUCUAAGGUCUCUUUGGUUGGACUUUUGAACCUGCUUUUGCUUUUGUAAAAGCCAAAAUCCAACCAAAGGGCCCAAAAGCCACAAGUGCUUUUGCCCAAAAGCAGCUUUUCUCGUAGUACAAAUCCAAAAGCACCUCACCCCCUGCUUUCACUGACUUCUGGGAUCCGUUCAGUUUUUUUUUCCAAAAGCCACGAGUGACCAACCAAAUGACUUUUGGGUUUCUCAAAGCCCACAUCCCACAGUAGCUUUUCAAAAGCUCAAAGCUCACAGUAGCUUUUCCAAAAGUCACAUCCCAAUCAAACACACCCUAAGGCCUUGUUUAGAUCCAAAUAAUAGAUCUACAGGAUCUACUAGCAAUAGAAAGAACAGGGAUUCGGGAUACAUAAGUAACAUAGACAGUAACAUAAAUAUGCACACUAGAUCUAUUACAUAGGGAAUAGAAACAGGUAGAUCUAGAGUAUAGGGAUUCGACCGUCGUUGGCGGCGGGUGUAGAUCCAGUGGGGUCCAUGGCGAGGGCGUUGACGCGGUGACGGAGUAGAUCCCGUCGUCCUUCGGGCCUCCACCGGCACUGACCGACGACGGCGGGGUAGGAGUAGAAGGGUGACGGCGCGGUGGUGCUUCCCGACGCCACUGCGCACUGUCGAUCGGCGACCUAGGGUUGUGAGUAGGGUUUGGCGGCGCACGACGAACUUCGUGUUGUGUGCCAGUAGCCCCCUACUCCUAUAUUUAUAGCGCAGCGCGUCGGGGGCCCACCAACGAUAGAUCGAUUGGACGCCCCCGAUCAGGGCGCGAUCCAGGGGGAAAGGCCCCAGCCGUUGGGCUGGGCCUGAGAUCAAUAUAACAUUCUCCCUCUUGAUCUCAUCUGUGCUUUCUCGCUUUGUCAACUCACCCCGUCACAAAUCAGUGUAUUGAGCAUGCUUCAUCUUAGCAGUUAUCACUGCUAGAUUAGACAGCCACAAACACUUUUCUGUUUAGAGAUGAAUUCUCGCCUUGGGCCCCUUGCUAUCCAGGAAUCACAGGCUUUCCCUUAAACCCAUGUCGGCUACAUGUUCUCUGAACAUACUGGGCGGUAAGCCUUUCGUAAGCGGAUCCGCUAGCAUCUUUUCUGUGCUUAUAUGUUCAAGACUUAUGAUGUGAUCUCGGAUUUUAUCCUUGACAACAUAAUAUUUUAUGUCAAUGUGCUUGGCGGCAUUGCUUGACUUAUUGUUGUGAGCAUACAACACUGCUGGCUCGUUGUCACAAUACAACUUUAGUGGUUUAUCGAUGCUGUCGACCACCUUUAAACUGGGUAUAAAUUUCUUAAGCCAAUUCACCUGUCCUGAUGCCUCAUAACAAGCAAUAAACUCAGCAUACAUUGUGGACGAUGCAGUGAUUAUUAUUUGUUUUGAGCUCUUCCAUGAUAUGGCUCCUUGCACGAGAGUGAAUAUAUACCCUGAGGUAGACUUUCUAUCAUCUUCCGCGUAAUCAGAAUCUGAAUACCCUACUAUUUGUAGGUCAUCAGAUCUUCUAUAGGUUAACAUAUGAGCCCCUUCGUGCCUUGCAAGUAUCUUAAGAAUUUCUUUACUAGAUUCCAGUGUUCCAUACCAGGAUUACUUUGAUAUCUACCAAGUAGCCCGGUCACAAAAGCCAGGUCCGGGCGUGUGCACACUUGAGCAUACUGUAAGCUUCCGACAGCUGAAGCGUAUGGAACGGCUUGCAUGCAAUCGCGCUCGAACUUGCUCUUGGGACAUUGAUGUUCCCCAUACUUGUCACCUUUUACAAUAGGAGCAGGUGAAGGUCUACACUUAUGCAUAUUGAAUUUCUUCAAUAUUUUCUCUAUAUAUGCCUCUUGGGACAAUCCCAAUACCCCUCGACUUCUAUCUCGGUGAAUCUUUAUGCCCAAGACAAAAGAAGCUUCACCUAAAUCUUUCAUAUCGAAAUUUGAGGACAAAAAUCUCUUGGUUUCCUGUAGUAGAGUGACACCACUACUGGCUAGUAGAAUGUCAUCUACAUACAGUACUAGGAAAAUGUAUUUCCCAUUCUUAAACUUUGCAUAUACGCAAUUGUCCUCAACAUUCUCUUUAAACCCAAACUUUCUGAUUGUCUUAUCAAACUUUAAAUACCACUGCCUGGAUGCUUGCUUUAAUCCAUAAAUGGAUUUCUUCAGGCGACAACCCAUUCUUUCUUUGCUUGUCACAACAAAACCUUUCGGUUGUGCCAUGUAUACUCUUUCUUCUAGAUCCCCAUUGAGGAAAGCUGUCUUCACAUCCAUUUGAUGCAAUUCUAGAUCAAAAUGUGCCACUAGGGCCAUUAUGAUUCUAAAAGAGUCCUUGCUCAAGACGGGAGAGAAUGUUUCAUUAUAAUCUAUCCCUUCUCGCUGAGUAAAACCCUUGGCUACCAGUCUUGCUUUGUACCUUUCUAUGUUCCCUUUGGAGUCACGUUUCACCUUGUAGACCCAUUUGGAGCCUACUGUUUUGGCUCCUUCAAGAAUUUCCUCUAGGUCCCAAACUUUAUUGGUACUCAUAGACUUUAAUUCAUCUUCCAUGGCUUCUUGCCACUUAGAUACUUCGGUGCUCCUCAUGGCUUCUUCAAAUGAAGUGGGUUCAUCCUCCAUCUGAACUUCUUUGCAUUCAUAGACUAUAUAGUCAUCUGGAAUAGGAGACUUUCUCGCUCUUUGAGGUCUACCAGAAGUUUCUGGUACUGGCAUUUCUUCUUGAGGUUGCUCUUGUUGGGGCUGCUGUUCUUCAACUAUGGGUUCAUUCGGCUCCUGAAGGACAAGUUCCGAAUUAGCCAUAGGCGAAAAAGCAGCAGGUGUUGUCACUACUAGUGUAGAUCCAACAACAACAGGCAGCGUAAAGUAGGGUUCUUGCACCAUGGGAAUGGGCACGAACACCCGCUUCUCUGCAAGGGUAAUUUCUCGCGCUGCCUUGCUCCCCCUGAUCAUCUGAUCUUCUAGAAAACUAGCGUGUCUCGGUUCCACAAACUUGGUAUGUCUACCAGGGCAGUAGAAACGAUAACCUUUUGACUUUUCUGGAUAGCCAAUAAAAUGACAACUUACUGUUUUGGGGUCUAGCUUUCCUAUGUUUGGGUUAAAUACUUUUGCUUCAGCAGGGCUCCCCCAGACACGCAAAUGGUUGACUGAGGGUUUCCUGCCGGUCCACAACUCAUACGGUGUUUUAAGUACUGACUUGCUUGGAACUCUGUUGAGAAUAUGAAUGGCGGUUUUUAAGGCCUCCAUCCACAAACUCAAUGCAGAGUGGAAUAGCUCAUCAUGCUGCGCACCAUAUCCAUUAGAGUACGGUGACGCCUUUCUGCUACUCCAUUCUGCUGUGGGUCCCCUGGCAUUGAAUACUGGGCUACUAUGCCAUUUUCCUGUAAGAACCUCGCAAAAGGUCCAGGAACUUGUCCAUAAGGGGUAUGUCGACCGUAGUACUCCCCCCCCCCCCACGGUCAGAUCUUACUACUUUGAUUUUUCUGUCUAGUUGGUUUUGAACCUCAGCCUUGAAUAUCUUAAAUUUGUCUAAAGCUUCUGAGCGUUCUUUGAUUGGAUAGAUAUAUCCAAAACGAGAGUAGUCAUCUGUGAAUGUGAUGAAGGAAUCAAAACCAUCCACAGAUGUCACUGGAAAAGGUCCACAGAUGUCUGUGUGGAUCAAUUCUAGUACUCCUGUGCUUCGCUUAGUGCCUUUCUUUAUGUUCUUUACUAACUUGCCUUUAAUGCAAUCGACGCAUUGCUCUAACUCUGAGAGUUCUAGUGGUGGGAGGAUUGAUUCUUUAACUAAGCGUUCUAUUCUCCCCCUCGAAAUGUGGCCUAAGCGACAGUGCCAUAAUUUCGAUGAGGAAUCAAUUCUCUUUCUUUUCUUGCUAGCAUCUGCGGGUAUUGCAUUCUCAGCAUUAUUACAUUCAGCAUUCACAUUCUCAGACAUAGAUAAUAAAUAAAGUUUGUCUUGUCGGAAGGCAAGACCCACACAUUUAUUAUUUAACUGUAGCUUACAAUCAUUCUUGCUGAAAUGGCAAUCAAAACCAUAGUCUGACAAACAUGAAACUAAAAUUAAAUUUCUAGCUAAAGAGGGGACAUAAAGAACAUCAUGCAACUCAAGUGUGAAGCCACUAGCUAAAUCUAGAGAUAAAUUUCCUAUAGCUUGAACUUCAGCAGCAACACCAGUGGCCACCUUAAUCUGUCUUUCUCAUCUUUGAAGGGUUCUCCCUCCACUGAAUCCCUGCAAAGAGUUUGCAACAUGAACAGUUGCACCUGAGUCAAUCCACCAUGUGGAUCUAGCAUAACUUAGAUAUAAGGAUUCAUCAACAAAAGUUAUAAUGUCCUCACCUUUCACUAGGCAAUGUUUCAUGAACUUAGGGUAUUCAUGCUUCCAAUGCCCUGUCUCAUUACACCAUCUACAGCGAUCCGGGUCCUCCUGCCUGUGCUGGUUGUCUUGCUUUGGCUGUGCUUUUGGCUGUGAAGAGCUUCCUCCCUUGUUCUCGGAGGUGGAGGCAUCUAGAGCUUUCUUGUUGUAGAAUGGUUUCUUGUUCUUUCCUUUCACAAAGUUCACAGAACCACCAUUUGCAUUCUUGAGCCUUUCUUCCUCUUGCACACACAUAGCAAUCACCUUCUCUAAAUCCCACUCCUCUGGCUGUGUGUUGUAGUUAACAACAAAUGUCUCAUACUCUUUAGGAAGUGAGUUUAGAGCUAGGUGAAUGAUGAAACCAUCAGCGAGGGGCAUCUUUAGCUUCUCUAACUUGGCUGCCAUGGUGCUCAUGCUCAGAAUGUGCUCUCUCACACUCCCCCCUGUGAACCUCAUGUUAGUGAGUUUCUGGAUCAGGGUGGAAGCAUGAGCUUUGGUGGAACCAGUAAACUGAUUCUUCACUUUCUCAAGGUAUUCUUUUGCUGUCUCACAUUCUGGGAUGGCACCUCUUAGGCCCUCUGUGAUGGUUUUCUUGAUGACAAUCUUGCAUUUGCGGUUUGACUUUUCCCACUUGUACUUCUCAAGAUCAUACUUUGCUAUGAUGGGAGCAAAGUCUCGCUUCCGAUUAGCAAAAGCUUCAUCGCUCUCAUUCUGAGCCCUUUCGGGCUCCUCUGGCUCAGUGGGCUUUGGCUCCUGAAGAGCCAAAUCUAUCUCAGCAAGUGCUAGAGCUGCAUCAAGUUCCUCGCGCCACAGAACAUAGUUCUGCCCCGUCAGCUUUGGGAUUGCACUGAUGAAGUGCAUCGCAUUCUGCGCUUGGUCUGAAAUUAAAUAUGAGAAAAUAGUGAGAACAUCAACAUUAAAUCUAGGAAAAAUAAUUGCAUAUCUUAAUUUAACGUUGGUCAAAAUCAAGAUAUACAAAAAUUAACUCUCUACAUAAAUUCUAAUCACUGUUGGGCAGAAUAGAAUAAAUACAUAAAAUUAGAACUUGGAAUUUGUAAUAUUGCUAUUAUUAACGUUGGUCAAAAAAUAACAAUAUCACAAAAAUACUAGGCUUUAAAACUCGUGUCUCAAAUUAAAUAUCCCGUUGGUUCAAUUUAAUAUGAGAACGAAAAAAUAACUUGCGCAGCGGAAAACAUUAAUUUAUUUACUAUUUUUAGAAGCAUAACUAGCUAACUGUGCUUUCUAAUUAAUAUACACGUUGGUGCAAAUUAAAUAGAAUUUAAAACUGAGCAAAACAAAUAUUUAAAUGCUUCUGAAAAUUAAAUAGAAUAUAAAAAAGGAGUUACAUUGCUUAAACGGGCCGUGGCCAACCAUUCGGCCCACGACCUCUUGCGGUCCAGCUCGGACGCUGGCCCAGCAGCGCACGGGUGCUUCUGAGUUUUUUUUAUUCUUGGCUGGUGGCACGCGGCCCAGCUAUCGGUUUUCGGCCCAGCCCAACGGCAUGCGUGCACGCGGGCGCUUGGCGGGCCGCAACCUGGGCCGGUGGCGCGCAUUCGGCCCAGCGCCGAAACCCGCCUGGGCUCAUUCUAGCCCAGCAGCCGCUGGUCGUCCGAUUUGCGGCCGUCGCGAUCGGACGGUAGAGUGCGCAGGUCGGAGGCAUAAAAGCCGCCGGCGCCAGGCUCUCUCUCCCAAACCCUAGUUUCUUUCUCCUUUGCUUCCUUCCUGACUCAGCAGCCGACGGCGCCGGCGCAGGAGCCAGACAGCCGCGGCAAGGGCCUCGCCGGCGCCGGUGAAGACGCCGUCGUUUCGGCCGCUCCCUUUCUCCUUUCUGUGCUUUCUUUUGCUUUUUCUCUCUCCAGUCCACUUGCGCCCAGCUGUAGAGAAGGACGCAGUGCUUUGCCGGCCGGAAAGAGUGGCGCCGCCGCGGUUCCUAUCGCCGGAGCGCGCGCUUCCCGUGGUGGGUGAGCGCGCCGCCGUCGAUAAGAGUCGCGAUGGUGCCCUGCGCUUGGCCCCCAUGCGGGAUUCCUCCCUGGUUUUGACCACCCCGGCCGCUAUGGUCGUGAGGCCGGGAUGGGCUAGCGCCCAGGUAGGGUGUUCCUUUAUUCUUUGUUGUUUGAUCUAUGCUUUUAGGGUUAGGAAAUCCCUUUUCUCGAUCUUUCGCGUUUGGAUCUGGGCGCUAGGUUUAGGGUUUGGGAAAAAAAAUAAAUCCUCUCCUUCUACUUGCUGGGCUUGUUGGGUAAAUCCCGAAAACCCCGAUCUAUUACUAGAUCGGCUGAUACCAUUGAUAGAUCUACAGGAUCUACUAGCAAUAGAAAGAACAGGGAUUCGGGAUACAUAAGUAACAUAGACAGUAACGUAAAUAUGCACACUAGAUCUAUUACAUAGGGAAUAGAAAUAGGUAGAUCUAGAGUAUAGGGUUUUGACCGUCGUUGGUGGCGGGUGCAGAUCCAGUGGGGCCCAUGGCGAGGGCGUUGACGCGGUGACGGAUUAGAUCCCGUCGUCCUUCGGGCCUCCAUCGGCACUGACCGACGACGGCGGGGUAGGAGUAGAAGGGUGACGGCGCGGUGGUGCUUCCCGACGCCACUGCACACUGUCGAUCGGCGACCUAGGGUUGUGAGUAGGGUUUGGCGGCGCACGACGAACUUCGUGUUGUGUGCCAGUAGCCCCCUACUCCUAUAUUUAUAGCGCAGCGCGUCGGGGGCCCACCAACCAUAGAUCGAUUGGGCGCCCCCGAUCAGGGCGCGAUCCAGGGGGAAAGGCCCCAGCCGUUGGGCUGGGCCUGAGAUCAAUCUAACACCAAAAAGUUUUUGGAUUUUGAGAUUAUAGCAUUUUUAUUUUUAUUUGACAAAUAUUGUUCAAUCAUAAAGUAACUAAGUUUAAAAGAUUUGUCUAGCGACUUACAGACAAACUGUACAAUUAGUUUUUGUUUUCAUCUAUAUUUAAUGCUCCAUGCAUGUGCCACCAGAUUCAAUGUAACGGAGAAUCUUGAAAAGUUUUUGGUUUUUAGGGUGAACUAAACAAGGCCUAAAUAACUAGUAGAUACAUAGUAUUUUAUUUCACAUGGAGGAAAGAGAACGUGAAAACUGAGGCCUUGUUUAGUUUCAAUUUUUUUUGCAAAAUAGAUACUGUGGCACAUUCGUUUGUAUUUGACAAAUAUUAUCCGAUCAUGAACUAAUUAGGAUCAAAAGAUUUGUCUCGCAAAUUACAAUUAGGGUUUUAUAAAUGCAUUCCCCCCAUCAACCUUUAUACUCACUUUGGCUUCCCCUUUUAUAGGACACUAUUACUUGGGGAAACCAGUUUACACUCCUAUCCUACGACACAGCGGCUAUGGUACAUUAAUGGAAUACGCUUAGCCACAAACAUAAUUUUAGGGUUACUUUGGGGCAUUCCACCUUGGCAACCGCCUUAAUUCAUGGGCCUUUUCUAGUGCCCACAGAGGCCCAUCUAUCACCUCAAGUUCUAGGCACCGUAGGGGCCUUCUCGUCAGCCUUCACUAGAAAAGCCCCGCCUUCCGCCGCGAUCUGGGCUCAUGCUACUCUGGACCUUCACUGCUACACUACCACCUUCGCCUUGUGCUCCAUCCAAGGAGGGUUCCGUGAUGCCUUUGCCCCUCAGAGCGGGACCUUCGCCAAUGUCGAGGGUGCGGGCGAAGGCUCCUGUCUUUGUUCCUGCCAAUCAAUGAUCAUGUUUCGUGCAUUGUUAGUCUUUUUUCGCUGGUGUAUCCCCUAGCUGCCAUAGCUCAUAGUUCCAUGUCCCAACAAUGUCUAAGAGCAAUUUCACUAGGAACCCUUAAAUUAGGGUUCCCACUUUUGAUUCGAGGGUUAUUCAACUUUUAAGUUUUUUUUGCAUCUAUUGUAACAACUCUCAAAUCCAUUUCAGUAGUCACGGAGACACAAACACAUGAGAUUCACUCGCCAUUCUCUUCCUAUGACCAUAACUACCUUCGCUCCAAUCAACUAAGCUAUGACUGACACGGGGUGGAGCAGCAGUAACCUCAUUAGGGAGGGGUUUGUGCCAAGGGCAGAGGAGCCGAUGAUGAGAGAGUAGCCACGUUGGGGACUGACCUUGUAAGAAUAGGGAAGGACCUCACUAGGGGAUGGGACAAGCACUAGGGAGAGGAGUCACGCUAGGGGAUCGAGGAUGGGGUAAUAAGGGUCUCGUUGGGACGGGGAAGGACCUCACUAGGGGACAAGACAGGAGCUAGGGAGAGGAGCCACAACGGGGAAGGAUCUCACACAUAGGCGGACAAACCUCACUGUGAGAGCCACGCUACAAGGAGGGAGACCCCUUAGGAAGGGGCACGCCGCUAUAGGGAGGGGAGUCACACCACUAAGGUGAGGGGCCUCAUCAGGGAGAGCCGCACCAAGGGAAGGACCUCCUAGGGACGGUGGAGCAUGCAAGCAACAUCGGAUGUGGAUAGAUGGACACUAUCCUCUUGCAUGCUAGGAGGAAAACGAUAACAAGUGUCAGUUGAGGGCCUAGAGUAGGGUCCCAAGAAAAUGAGGACUAGGAGGAAAAUUUGAGGGGCCUAUGAGUUUUUUUUUCUAGUCAUCAAAUUUGGUUUUGAGGGGUCAAGUAGGUGUCCUGCUAGAGAAGGCACCUCUAAUAAUAGUGAGAGUUAGAUAUCGACUCUUAGAUCCAUCUCAUUCAUAUGUUUUAUUUAUAUAUUCUCUCGUGUCAAGAGAGAGAGAUAAUUCAAGUCUCUCAUACAUUUUAGUACGUGCAAAGAGCUCGGCUUUUCUCAACUUCUCUCCACGCUAGUUCCACGCUAGUUCAAAGGUUUUUGGCCUCUCUCCCCUUUGUGUGGUAUCUGAUACUAGCUUAGAGCAAGUCCAAGAGAAGAGCUAUCCAUAUCAUGUAUUCUAUAUUUGGCUAUUUUGGGAGAGAAAAGAGAGUCCAACAGCUAUUGUAUUUGGUUUGCUAAAAUAGCAAGUCAUCUAUCCCGGAGUUCUCGUAUGGUAAAUAUAGCUUGCAUGUCCUGCUAGCCAUAUGAUUUGCCGUAUAGAAAGACCGUUGGAGAUUUUUAUUUUUUUACAUGAUUUUCUAUUUUAGAGGUUGGCUAAAUUUUGAAUUUAGCCAUCUAUUUUUAUCAACUCUCUUAGAGUUGCUCUUAGAGUUGUCCAAUAGAGAUGCCCUUAGCUAGCUCCCAAUUUAGAAUAUACCUAGACUAGAUCGAUAUCAGGCUUGAGAACGCAUAAUAGUUAGAUAUUUAUACCUAGUAGAUCGUUGGGUUUUAAACAAUACCAUACCUUUUUUUUGAGGGGAAAACGAUACCAUACGUGAAAUGGCUCACAUGAAUAUUAGGCCCGAAAACGGUUAUUGGCUAAACAGAAUUGGGCCUUAAAUGGGCGAUUAAAACAGCAAUGAUGCCUCCGUAGACUAGGAAUCGCAUAGACAAAAAGCUGUGACAUGCAUAUGCCUCGGGUGGGCUAUAAACAGGCCUGCGAUGCAGGCCUAUACACAGCCCAAUUUUUUUUGUGAACAAUACACAGCCCAAUUUGUGUACGUACAAGUGCCGGUUGCUUUUUCAGUUUCUUGCCCCAUGGGAAGCAUUCCCCAAUCGAAUCAUCACGUACGUACUUGACUCUGAUCCAUCAUAACACUUGGUGUCCACUAUGCACGCUCGUAGGCAUUGUUUACUUCCACCCAAAAUCUAAAAUUUUUUCAAGAUUUCGCGUCACAUCGAAUCUUUAGACGUAUGCAUGGAGUAUUAAAUAUAAACGAAAUUAAAAACUAAUUGCACAGUUUGAUCGAAAUUUACGAGACGAAUCAUUUGAGCCUAGUUAGUCCAUAAUUAAACAAUAAUUAUCAUAAACAAACAAAAGUGCUACAGUGUACCGAAAAAAUUUCGGCAAGGAACUAAACAAGGCCGUAGUAUGCUGUUAUAUGAUGGAAUCUAAAGAGCCCCAUUUUCUCUUUUAUCUUACCCUCCAGAUCGAGGCCACAAAAUCCUAGGUACAGAACAUCGUCUGUCAGAUGCAUCUGGUUGCAGCAAAGAUCCACACACAUUACAUAGAAUACGUGCACAGCACCAAAUGCAUGCAACGGCAACAUAUGCAUGCAGCACAAUUAGUUGUACAGUUUCCAUGAUUUACAAGCAAGUCCGGAUUCUUUUACUUCAGUAAACCAUCCUCAUAUUGCAAUGAUGGCAUGAUGCAUAUAUAGAGCGGGAGUGGUUAAGGUCGAUGAAUAAUGAAUCACUGAUGAAGCAGGGCAGACAAGGACACGGCAGCGGCGGCAGAGGCACACUGAGCCCACACAGAUGAAAUGAGCAAAUAUAUAGUACGUCGCGUGUAUAUGUUACUAUAUCUUAUUACUUGAACACAUCACUCUCAUGACUCAUGGAUGGAAAACAUCAUGCAUACAGUACAAUAUAUAAUGGACACAAAAGCUAGUAGUAUUCAUUAUUCAGGAAACCUGUGUGCUAAAGCAACAAGGUUAAAGGCAAGCAAACCCCCAAGGACGACGUUGAGUGCUGCUUUGCUAGCCUGCUACACACACACACACGUACGAUCGAGGUACACGACGACAGCCACAGCGACGACAGAGUUGGUGUAAACUCAAGGUAGUAAACAGUAAAUACUAAUUAAACGGAGUGAUCACUAACAGGUACGGUGCAUGCAUGAUCUACUCCUUAAUUUAUGUAUCUAUCUCAUUGCAUGCAUCAUCCAUGGAGGGAGUCAUGGACGACAUCUGGUAAAACAACGACGACUGCAUGCUGAUCGCCAUCCAACGAGCAUGCCUCAUGCAUGUCCUUAUGAUCGAUCAUCAGUUGAUCCUGCACGUACAUAACAUGAAAGAUAUCAAAUCAUGGUUAUCACACUCGAUCAUUAGCAGAAAAUCACUCAUAAUCACUGUGCAUUCAUGCAUGCAUGGACGACAUAUUUAAUCAAUUGGACAGGGUGAAAAACUCAGCCUAGGAGGCGUCGUACUUGGAGCAGUCGACGUUGGGACUAAUGGGCACGCCGACGGAGACGCCGCACUUGGAGGGGAUGCUGGCGGCGUUACCCAUGCUGACGCCGCCGCCGCCGCCGAGCCUGCUCGUCAUGCUCUUGAGGCAGGCGCAGGUGGCCUGGCGGUCGGCCGUCGACGACGCGCGGCUGUUGAGCGAGCGCACCCCGGUGCAGCACGCCGGGGAGGGGAACGCCGUGGUGCCCAUCGCGUACCCGAGGCACGGCGCCACCGAGGAUGUCACGUCGCUGCAGCUCACCGCCGCCGAUGCCGGCUCCGAGGACGCCAGCAGCAGCGCCGCCAGGACCGCCACCGUCGUCGCGACCACCAGGGCGAGGCGUGGAGCAGCCAUUGCAGGACAGAAGAGCAGUGGGGGGUGGUGAGCUGUUGAUGGUGUAGUGGUGUUAAGUGAAGCUGUGAUGGAUGGAGCAAUGGUGGUGCCAGGGGUAGGGUAUAAAUAGGGAGCUUUUUACCUAUAUGUCAUUAUGAAAGAUUGACCAAACCAGGAAGCCACUAAAAAGUGGUUUCGCACCGCUGUGCCCAACUUCAUCUUCGGCUAUACCUGUAUGCCAUUCCGUCCAUUUUGAAGUCUAACGGCAGUUAAGUGGUCUGACAUUUGACUUGAAUGCCCCUGGGCCAAUUGGUCUAGACAACAAAAUCUUCUUGUCCCCAGUGCCACUGACUACCAAUUCACUGACUACCAAUUUCUACGGUGAGCGCCAAAAGGGCUGGACAGAACUGCAAAAGUGGCAUCUUUCAGAAGUUCUAAAUUCCCAUAUUACUUGAAAAAUUCUUUCAUGGUUUUUAGCAUCAUCCAACAGUAAAUCCCGUAGAUGAACAGAUUGAAGAACCCGAUUAAAGCCAUGCCACAAGCGAAAGAAAUGGAACAUGUUUCACAACAAUCUAUGAACUAUGAAAAUAAGGAACAUAAAAAAAAACCGCCAAUGUUUAUCUCAGCUACCUCUCAUUCAUUAGGUAACAUAAACAAAUACAUAGGCUUCCGUUCCAUUAAUGGUCCUUUGUUCCAAGAACACCACGCCAUACAUACUACGGGCGAACGCGACGAGGACCUGGAACUGGACGAGCUUCUGUCCGAGCACCGGAUGGACGAGGCGCUCCAGCUCCUGGAGCUGCGAGGCCAAGCGCUGCAGACGAUGCAGGAGCAGGCCGACGACGACGACGACGGAGCGAUCGCGUUCGCGUCGAGCGUGCGCGCGCUGUCCGCCACGAAGGCGAGGGUCGCCGCCCGCUUGGCCUCCCUGGCGGAGAACCCGCGGACGCCGCGGCCCGAGCUCCUAAAGGCGCUCUCGGGCCUCUGCAGGCUCGGCGACUCGGAGCAGGCGAACCACCUGCUCUUCCAGGUGCACCGCGCGAGCGUCGUCCGCGCGUGGAGGAGCUGCGCGCGUCGCGAGGCCACCACCAGAGCAUCGCCGGCGCCGGCGGCAACUACAUCAAGGACCUGGCGCCAGCGGACGCCGAUGCUGGCGGAGCCACCGAGAGCGCCGGGCCGGCCCUGGCGACCCCGCUUCCUCCUCGUCCCCUCUCCGCCUCAUGCUGCUGCUGCGGAGGCGGCGCGAGGGAGCCGGUGAGGAGCUGCGUGAAGGUCGUCGCGGCCCCGGAGGAGGAGUUGGCGCCUCCGCCUCCGCCGUCGUCGCUGUCAGAGGAGGGGAAGAGCGCUGAGGCGAGCGUGAGCGGGCCCGGGCUGGCGUCACCGGCGCCCGUAAAGAGCGACUCCGCCGCCGAGCGCGGUGGCAGCGCCAGGCGCCGGCGUUGACUUUGGUUUUGGAAGAGGCCGAGCGCGGCCUCGAACGCGGGCUGGAGGACCGCGUGAGGGGCGAUGGACUGGAAGGGCAAGAAGGACAUUUUCCUACCAAGGACCCACGUGCCAGACCACUUAAACGUCACAAAACAAACGGAAUGGGGACGGAAUGGCAUACGGGUAUAGUUGAAGAUGAAGUUGGGCACAGCGGUGCGAAACAAUUUUUUAGUGGCUUCCUGGUUUGGUCAAUAUUUUAUAAUGGCAUACAGGUAAAAAGCUCAUAAAUAGGACCUUGGUAACUCAUCACUUAUUCACUUUUUUUUUUGGAAUUCAUCACGUAAUUAUUUUUUUUUGAGACUGGAACUUCACCCGUUUUUCAUUAAUUAAGAGGGAAUUCAAUCACGUAUUCACUUGGAGAGUGUACGUGUGUGUGUGUGUUAGCUGGAAAUCUGAUGAUGUGGGGCGCGCGGCCCGGCUGGGGAGCUGAUGAGUGAGGCUUUUUGAUAUUGUAUCAUUUUCAUUUUUAUUUAACACAUAGUGUUCAAUCAUAAAGUAAUUAGAUCUAAAAGAUUCGUUUCACGAUUUAUAGAUGAUAAUCUGUACAAUUAGUUUUUGUUUUUAUCUAUAAUUAAUGCUUCGUGUAUGUGCCGUAAGAUUCGAUAUGAUAAAAAAAUUUGAAAAGUUUUUAGAUUUUUGGGUGAAUAAACAAGGCCCGAGUGAGUGCAGGUGAAGUGUUACUGCAGUGGUGGUUGAGCACGCACCAACCAGGGGGAUCGUACGUUUGAUGAGAUGUGAGAUGAGAUGCGAUGCGACGAGGAGAUGAAUGCAUGCACGUGAACCUGCUUCUCGUUUGUAUUCGGACUUUUGGUACGUACAAACAAAGCCUGUGCAAACGUUCAUCAUUGUGCUGCUUGUGCAUAUUGAUAUACACGACAUAUGCACGCUGCAUAUACCCUGUGUACUGUGGUGCCCGUGACUGCCGCCGGGCACAUAACAUAGGAGUAGUAUGAAGUCUUCAAAGUCACGACUGAAAGUCUUUUUUUUGCUAAUAUGUUGUAAAAAAACAUUUCUAAAUAAUUAUUAGUAGAUUCGGUAGAUGAUCUUAAUUAAUAAGUGAACAAGCUAAUGGUUUUAAUUUGUGCUGUGGACACAGCUACAUAGUACGAUGGGAUGGACAGUGUUUCCCACCAGCCUUACCGAGUUUACCGUGCAACGAAUACGCGCCCGUGACACACACACGCUGCAUAUGCAUGAGCCUUGGGCUAUAUAUACCAGUACGCGUACGUACGUACGUAAACGUACGGUCGUAUAUUGUACUCGCGCGCCUACAUAUAUCAUUCUCGGAAUCGUAACAUCCUCCCUCGCUCGGUCUGUCACGAUCAUGAACGUAAGACGUGUUCAUCAACUUUGGAACUGGUGCACAUAGUACUGCUAGGCUAGCUGAACGUACGUCCCAGCAAACACGUACGGAUAGAUAGAUGAUCCAGGACUAUUAGCAAUUAACUGCCUUCAAUUCUUAUGUCGCCGGCCGAUCGUACUGCAGCGCAUGCAUGCAAAUGCAAUAGUAGUAGAUAGAUAGAAUUGCAGUUGUUGAUAGAGCUAAGCAAAAGCACGCAAUUAAGUUCACCUUUAGCUUUUCUUUGCAUUGAACGUGUAACAUGCAUGUUCACAUCUUGAUGAUGGUAGCCUGAAAAUUCUGGUGAGGUAGUUGCCACCUAGCCAAGCAUUGCAUGAACCAACUACUACUGUACGUCCUCUCCGUUCUACAAAGAGAAAGGAGUACAUUUUUAACAUUCUAAACUUGUCUAUAAACCUGUUCUCUCUCUCUCUCUCUCUCUCUCUCUCUUCCACACCACCCAAUCCCUUGACCUCCCUCCCUCCCACAACCACUUUUAGCGUCUUGCAUUUGAUGGCAUAGGUUACGAGGACUCAUAGCAUUUUCAACAUUUUGUUCUAAACUUAGGAUACAUUCUAACAGGAAAUCAGCUCUAAGUAUUUCUCUUCUUCAACAGUUACCAUAUAUAUCAUCUUAAAUAAUAUAUAGGAUGGACAAUAUAUAGUCCACCAUCAAUAUAUCCAUCCACCCACAUAACCCCUCUCUCUCUCUCUCUCCCCCACACCACCCAAUCCCUUGACCAACCUUCAUCCCCACAACCGCAUUAGCAUAUUGCAUUGAUUGCCUCGGUUACAUUCUAAAUCCUUAUAUAGGAUACAUUCUAAUAAAAAAACGUCUCUUCAUAUUUAUUUUUUCUUCAAUGGCUACUGCGUGUCAAAUACUCCAUACAACAUCUUGAAUUUGUAAAGAAGAGAGGAUAAUUUAGGAUACCACUAAAUAUCUGAUAUUGAAUAAGAGGGCCACUGAAGGAUGAUUUUUGUAACAUAAAUCUUUAUUUAAGCUCUAGGGAGACAAAUAACAGGAACUCUUCUAGAUAUCCUUAGUUACCGAGAGCAGUGAGGUUAUUUCUCUUUAUAAUUAUUAUAUUUAUUGAAAUAAGCUACAAAUCGUGUCUUUGCGUGGGACAGGGAUAACAUUAAAGAUAUUAAAAAGUUUUGUCAUUCCAUCAUAUAUAUAUAUAUAUAUAUAUAUAUAUAUAUAUAUAUAUAUAUAUAUAUAUAUAUAUAUAUAUAUAUCCCCACUUUCUUGGUGUGGUGGUACACAAGGGAGGAUACCAUGUUACCUACUAGUACUAGGUUUAAUUAAUUUAAAUUCUGGCACGUGCUAACGGCGUUUAAGAGCAUCCCCAAAGAGUCUUUUUAGAAUUUACUCCAUAGAUUAUCAUUUAGAAAGUCAUUUAAGUGGAACAUCGUUUUCUAUAUAUUUGCAUCCUUCAACAGUUUUUACUAUAUCUUGCGCGCAUUUAGAGACUCAUUCUUGCUUUAAUUUUCAUCUUUGGCUAGUGAGAAAUCUAGAGUAGAGGAUGUCUAUAUUGAAGAUCUAGUUAAUUGAAGAGGUUUGGAGAGUUUUUUUUACCAAAAUCUCUAUUCCUACAAAGUAUAAAAGAUAUAAAAAUUCUUUUGGAGUUGUUCUAACCAGUUUUGUAUGUGUGGGUCAUCUUGAAAUUAAAAAAAAUACAGGCUUCGAAACUAGGGUGUCAUUUGAGAGGCAGCAUACAAAACAAUUAUAAUAAAAAAUCAUUUAUUUUCAGCCAUUAUUUCUUUUUACAUUUUUGAGAAAUAUUAAUUCUUGUACUGUACAUUUUAUGGGAAUUAAUUAUUUUUACAUUUUGUUUUGAGCAACAUUAAUUAUUUUUACAUUGAAUUUGGUAUAAACAGUGUCGAGUUGAGCGAUGAAGGCCUCAGUUGGGCUGUUGUUGUCCAUGGAGUUAUUGGAGUAGUGGGCCUAGCUGGUCCUACUUUUUUUUUCCUGUGUGUGUUGCUGCUUACCCGUUACCACGUUUACUAUUGGGCCUCCAUUAAACUAAUUCCGGAAUGAUCCAUCAGCUUCGCGCCGUGCACACGUGUGUAUACAUGUACACGGCAGCGCUAUUUUAUAUCCUACUGUUAAGUUGACCAGAAAAAAAAUACUUCCCUCCGUUUGUGUUUACUUGUCACCAACUUUUUACUGUAGCAAAUUUGACUAUCUAUUUUUUUUCUUCUAAAAAAUCUUAGAUACUUCAAUAUAUAUAACACUAAUGAAGUAUAUUCAAUAAAGAAUCAUAUAUGUGAAAACUUGAUGUAUCUAAAAAUCUUUUGCAGAAAAAAACAUAUAGUCAAAAUUGCUACAGUAAAAGUUUGGUGACAAGUAAACGCAAACGGAGGUAGUACUAAGCAGUACUCAGUUUCACGAGUACGAACGAUAUUGAAUUUUGUUUAGGCCGUGUUUAGUUCCUACAGCGAAAAAAAUCACGACACUGUAGCAUUUUUGUUUGUUUGUGGUAAUUAUUGUCCAACUAUGGACUAACUAGGCUCAAAAGAUUCGACUCAUAAAUUUCAACAAAACUGUACAGUUAGUUUUUAUUUUCCUCUAUAUUUAAUACUCCAUGCAUACGUCUAAAGAUGCAUGCGUCUAAAGAUUCGAUGUGAUGGGGAAUCUUGAAAAAUUUUGGAUUUUGAGGUGGAAGUAAACAAGGCCUUAGUAUAACAGUUCGGUGUAGAAUAGCACUAUACACUCUAAGAGUAAAAUACUAUUCUACACCAAACUAUGUGUGAAUUAUGGUAAAAGAUCUGUACUUCUACACCAAACUAGAGUGGCCGGCCGGGGUGCUUCUGAUCGAUGAUGAGUGAGCUAAGUAGGGUUUAUAUAGGGAGAAGUGGAAGGCCUUUAAUUUUUCCAUAUCUUUUCCUUAACUUCGGAUCGAAAGAAAAGAACGCAUCCUUAAUAUCAUGCAUGUCAUCAUCAUUUCUUUAGCAACAAAACCCUUAAUCUCAUGCGUAACGUCGGCAUAUGAUUAGAGAGCGUUUUAUUUGUAACUUGUGAUCUCCCUUUUUACCGGCCUCUGCCUUGGACUGAGGAUGGAAAUCUGCCAUGGCGGCCAAGGUCGAUUCAUCUGAUCAGCACGCAGUAGAUAUGUGAGUUGGGAGAGAGUAGUACUGUAGUGGUGGUGGGUUUCGUGUGGGAUUCUGCUUAUGCUGAGUGAGGUUAUUAAGGCAGUGAUUGCUGAUUAGUGAGGCGCGCCAUAAGUUAACAACGAAAACCUACUUAGGACCUUGGAUCCACAGAGCUAAUAUUUAGUUGCUAAAGAUAAAAAUAUUCAGAUGCUAAUAAUUAGCUUGUUUGGAUCCAAACGGGCCGGUCUAGCUAAUUAUAUUAGACAACUACCUCACUACUUGAUCAAAACUAGCUAAUAAUUAACUAUAGCUAAUAUUAGCUAUGAGCUAUUAGCUAGCUAACUAUUAGCAGCUAAUGAAUCCAAAUAGGGAUUUAAUUUAUCACUAAGCCCCAAUUUUCUGUGAAACCUUUGGAUGAUUCAAGUAGUGUGAGAUUAGAGGGAGCGUUUCAGAACUAAAGUUGGUGGCCAUGGCUUAGGAUCUGAGUGGUUUUUUUUCCUUGCCUUUUUUCUAAAAUAAAAGAAAAACAGGCAGGAGUUCUGCCCUGGAUUAAGGAUGGAUCCAGUUUCAGUUUCAGUCAGGUUACGCGAGACUGUGAGAGUUAGUCCAUGGUGCAUGGUAACAGCUUGAUGCUAAACUCAUCCACGUUUCAUUUCAUCUCUGCUGAUCAUCAUCAUUCAUCCACUAACUAGCUAGCUACCACGAUAAAUAAACUGAAGAAGAAUAUUGCACCAACAUUUUAUUGCGGGUUUUCAUCAUGGCCUGGAUGAUCUGCAAAUUUCAGGGCCAUGCUUCUCCAUUGCUUCAGAUUCGACGGUGCUACAAGCCGGAGUGCAACCUCCGAUCCGUCAGUCAGUGUAGGACAUGCACGUCCAUACAUGUCCUGUCCAUCAGCAAGAGAAUGCCACAGGCCGCGGUAGCAAAAGCCAGUGGCUGGACGCUGCUUGUUUUGGUUGAGUUGGUGCCUGACAUUUCAGACCUCCCUAGCUAGCUUAAAUACAUGGAAGGGUACCACGUACACCACACAUGCAUAUAGUAUAGUAUAUGCACGAACUAGUAGCACGUAUCUUCAUAGCUUUCGGAGUAUGUUCUCAGGACAAACCUUUCUGUACAUGGCUCCAACAAGCAGAUGUUUCUUUCGCUCGUCCUCUCUUUGCGUGCAGAUGUGCAGUAACAAUACGCAUCUAUCUAUUACUUUCAUACAAAAAUGCAGCCUACUUCACUGAAUUAUUGAGCACUUUUCUUUUCUUUUUUUUUUACAACGAUGAACUGUGAUUUUCGAUCAGUAUGGGAACCGUCGACGGCCAAUGACUUCUGUUGCUUGACUUGUUUGUUGCACUUUCAAGUUCCAAGCGAGGCUACUCUUGAUCUGAUAGCAAGCAGAACAGAGGGAUAAAAAUGUAUAUGACAUUGUGGUGUCUGGUGGGAGCAGAAUUUGCCCUGUUUUGAGCACUUUCAUUUCAGAGAUAGACACAGAGUUUGCUCUACAGACUACAGAGAAUAAUCCAACGAUAACUAAGUACACAUUGAGUGCAAGAGAUUGCAUCACUAGAGCUAAUGUAUAGGGUAGCCUUUGGGCAAUCUGUUGCAGCCGAAUUUGUUGAGGAUAAUCCAAAAAGAAACACUUACCACAUUGUCUUGUAAAACAGUGCUGCCAGAUCAAUAAAGUUUCAGGACUUCAGACAAUCCUUUGGGAAUAGAAACGAUCUGUCAUCAAUCACUACCUUUUGAAUCACAGAUAGGAGUAUGAAACAAGUAUGCACUCCAUAGUGGCCUACAACAUAAAAGAAAGUUUGCUUUAGAACAUUUUCUCAAACUCGAGUUUGCUUUUGAACAUAAAAAGUAUUAUUCUGAUCUGCAACAAAGUUGAGUAAGGAAUGGAGAAUUACCAACAACACGGCCAAUGGAGCUACGAUCCCUCAGCGAUAAGACCCAGCACACAAGAGGGGCUCCUGCAGUUCAGACCGUUCAUUGCUCCAUGCAGUUUGUGACAACUGUAUUUGGUUCUCUAUUUUACAUGAACUUGACUGUGCGCAGCAUGCUUUGAACCGCUGCAUCCAAUCACCUUUGUUCUCAGAUGUUCAACAUCAUCCCACCGUUCUGCUUCUGCAUACGCAUUUGAUACUGUGAUAACAUCCCCAUCAUCCAUUGGCAUCAACUCAUGCAUUCUAUGAACAGCUCUGUCAGCAAUGUCAAAAUGCCCAUGCACUCUGCAUGCAGCCAUAACCAUCUUCCACAGCACAGAGUUUGCCUUGACGGGCAUAUCAUUGAUCAUUUGAUAAGCCUCGUGAACUUUACCAUAGCGGCAGAGCAUGUUGAUUAUACAGCCAUAGUGCUUCAUGCUUGGCACAAUUUUGUAGUCUUCGAUCAUGCUCUUGAAAUACACUCUCCCCUCAUUCAAUAGGCCGCUGUGGCUGCAAGCAGUCAAAACACCCAAAAACGUGACAUGAUCAGGCUCAAUAUUCAUAAGAUCAAACAGCUUAAGGGCAUCAUGCGAGUGGCCAUGGACUGACAACCCAACAAUCAUCGUGUUCCAGCAUGUAACAUCCUUGAUUGACAUGCUGUCGAAGACUUGUCUGGCGAGCUUCAAGUUACCACAUUUUGCAUACAUAUCAACCAGAGCGUUGCCAACAUACCCAUCAGCUUCAAUUCCUUUGCUCUUAAGGUAAUCAUGGAUUCCCCUCCCCAGCUCUAGCUCACCCACCUCCGCACAAGCCCCAAGAGCCGACACGACUGUUAGCUCCGUGGGUUCGAUGUCAUUCUUCCACAUAUCUCGGAAAACGUCUAGUGCUCGGCUAUACAUCCCGAGCUUUGCAUAUCCACUAAUCAAUGAGUUCCAAGAUAUGACAUCCCUCUCAGGCAUGUCUCUGAAAAUUCUCGCUGCCUCGACCAAAUCCCCGAGCCUCACAUUUCGCAUGAUCUCAGAGUUCCACCAUGAUAUGUUCCUUUCUGGAGUUGCCUGAGAGACACGCUCUGCACCCUGCAAGUCUCCAGAGACACCAUGAGCCACGACAAGUGCAUUCCAGGAGACGGCAUUCUUCACAGGCAUUUCAUCGAACGCCUUCCUCGCCUCCCCCAGACGACCGAACUGGCCGUACAUGGACACGAGCGCGUUCUGCACGUACCGAUCCUGCCCGCAUCCCAGCUUCAAGACGCGGCAAUGCAGCUCGGCGCCCUUGGCAGCAAACACGGCGGCGCGAGCGCGACGGCUGAGCCUGAACGCGCGGGCACAGGAUUUGAGGAGGGCCGGGAAGGCGGGGAGCGGGGUGGGGAUGGAGAGGGAGGAGACGUGGUUGAAGAGUGUCAGCGAGGCGGACGGAGCCGGCGACGAGGAGAAGGCGGAGAUCACGGGGCAGAAGAGGGACGGGGAGAGCACGCACGGAGGCGCGGCGAGGAGGAGGGAGAGGGAUGACGGGGAGGCGGGCGGGAGGUGAGAGAGGAGACCGGCGAGGCAGGCAGGGUGGUGGAGGAGGUCGAGCUUGGCGAGCAGUGCGUGGAGUUGGUGGCCAGUGGCGGCGGCGGAGCUCCGGCGGGGGAGGCGCCGGAGGAGGCGGAGGACGGCGGCCGGAGUGUACGGGUCGGGUGGCGCCGGUGAUCGCAUGGGCUGGCUGUUCGCAUUGCUGGUGGGCUGAUGGGCCGCAGGGUCCACUACAGCUCUGCUUGUCCCGACAAGUGGGCCCAGAAGAUUUUGCUAGGAGUACAUUAGGUGCUGUGUGCUUCCAUGCCAUUUUACAUGCUGCCAUGCUCCCAUUUCAAAAAAGACCAUCAAAAUGUGCAUGUUUUUUUUUAAAAAAAAGUACGGAUACAUGAUGAAAAAAAUGCAUGCUCAUGCAAAAUUUGAGAUCUACCGGAAUGAGGUCUAGUUGAAGAACUUAAGUUUAUGUGUAGUUCUAAUUUCGUUGAAUUUUCUUGUAAUUUCGUAGGUAGGGCCAGAAACUGAGCUGCCCAUGUGUGUUGGCUGCUUUGGUUAUGAGUGUAUUGAGGGAAAGCGCUUAAAAGCUCUAUCCCAGAUGAUGUUAAGCCGCCAAAUUAAAAAAAAUAGAUAUAACAGAGUUUUAUUUGAGGAGGAAAAAACAGAAAACUAGCCUGAAAUAGAAACAUAUCGCGGGACUGAAUGAACAUUUCGCUCUAACCCAAUUGCAGGUUCAUUAUCUUAUUUUCUCCUAGCACAAAACUUUGUUGAACCUAAAACUUUGCAUGAACAUGUACCUUUGCAUCAUGUACCCAAUACAUUUUUGGUUGAUUUUUCAUGCUCAUUUUGAUGAUUUUUUUAAAAAUAGGAGCAUGGGUGCAUAGGAUACAAACUCCUGUCAGCAUACAACGGUGAGCGGGGGCAGUAAGCUCUUGCUACUAGCAAGAUAAAAUGUGAAGGGUAAAGAAAAAGUAGGUAAUAGCAGCAUACAACAAUCCAAUACCAGCAUAAGCACAUGCAGCAACAACAAGGCAUGCAACACCACCACCACCACCACCAGUAUCCGGACCAGACAGUGUUGGUGGCAGCCAUCCUCUAGGCCCACCACGGUGAGCGGGGGGACCACCAUGGCCACACUCAAUAACAUUGAUAGUAUGUCGUCGGCUCAUUCCAAGCCUACCAUGACAAUGGUGGUUGGCGAGGCGAGGGCAGCCCAAAGGCGACAUUGGUGUGGUGAGGCCCAGUGGCGGAGCCUCUUGGAGGUGAAACUAGACAGUUGCCCCCCUGUCUCCGAUGGAAAAUGAUGAGUAGUAUGUGCAGUUCACAGGAAAAGGAGAAAAGGAAUACCUACAGUCUACAAUAAGAGAAGAAAAGACAGAGAGCAAGGAAAGUGAUGCCUGAGAACAUAUGGCUCAUGGGAAUGUGUGCUUUGUGUGUUUAGAUUCUUGCUUAUUUUUAGCUGAAGUUUAAUAGCUACAGUAGUCUAUUUUGAAAUUAGCCCCUCCUUGAUUUUCAUUCACCCUCCGCCGCUGGUGAGGCCAUCACCGGUGGAGGUCAUGUAGGUCAGAGGUGAGAUCUAUGGGGGUGAAGGCGAAACACGGAGAGAGAUGGGUGAUUUAGUGGAAAAAGAGAAGGAAUAUUUUCUAGCAUUUUUUUCAUGUGGACCCCACUUGUUGACAAGUGCACUAUAAAGAAUCUACAACAACUUACUAGCGGCUGGCACAUGGCUCAGUAGCUCACAACUCUAUAAUCCACACAUAGGUAAGAUACAUUGUCUACCCUUAUAUACCUAUAUUAAUUGAAGAGAAGCUCAACUUUUAAAUUAAAAAAAAUCAAAUGCACUAUGUAAGUGUGCACGUGUGUGCAAUCGUGUUAUUGAGCACAAAGAUAUGAGUACUAGAAAACUCCAUUGGUGGAUGGCAAUGCGACUUCUGUAACCAACUUAAAAGCACAUCAGUACCGAGUUCAAAUGUGAUCGAUGAUGACAAUUAGAGGUGUUGAGGGUUCUAGGAUUUAUGAGGUAUGGACAGAGGAAGAGCAAGAGCAAAAUAUAGGGGUUUCAUUUAUUUGCCAUAUGGAUAUAUAUAAUUAUAUUUAUAUUGUAGAGGUAUAUAUACAGUGAAAAUUCGAUCAUAAUUAUUAUUUUUAAGUUUUGAUUUGCCCCCCUUCCCCCAUCCUCCCUCUUCUCCAUGCUAAAGAUAGCAUCAUCCUCUAGUCACCAAGUAGCUUAGGCAAAGAGAGGGGGUGGGGUUGUAACAAGGGGUGUCAUUGAGAAGAUCAUUAGCGAGGAUGUGGUAGCAGAAAUAUGAACAACAAGCGGCGUGGAUGUUUGAGGAGUCUAAGAAAACCUAGUUGUUGGUACAGAAUAGAGAUAUGGUGAUGUGGCAGGGUAACUGAGAAAACGCAGGAAUAUCCAAGGUGAGAGAGGGUGGAAGGGGGCAUUCAAUAAGUGAUGUGUUUCCCAGAUUUGCUCUUAUAAAUUUGUACGAAUUUCUCUCCUAUUGUGAGCUAUGUUGUAGUUAUUUUUCACCCACUGUACAUCUUUAUUAUUUGGUGUUCAGAACAAAUAAAAUUACUAAUGGCAACAUUUUUAGCAAAGAUAAUAAUGCCAAGACAUAGUUUCUGCUUGCUAUGUUGAUGCAAUAAUUUAUAGGAGUCUUAAUUCUUUAACAUAAUUGACCAGUCUUAAAAUGACAUAUCCUAUGGUUUUAAGUACCAGCCUUCCAAAACAAGUGGGAAACUAAAAAGAUAGGUAAAUAAAUCUUUUAUAUAUACAAUUGGAAAACUAAGAAGCUAACAAAUAUAUCAUAUAUACAUUGGCACAACUGAUAUAUCAUUUAUAAACACCUAUAUACAUGGAAAACUUAUUACAACCACAAGUGUGCUCUUGUUUUUUCAAACCUCGAAGAAGCUUCAAUAUAUUAUGGUAGAUAUCCUUAGUUUUGAUACAUGUUCUGGCAUUUAAAUAUGGUAUCCUUAUUUUUAAUACAUGUUAUGACAUUUAAACAUGGUGCAAGUCUUUGUCAUCUACCUAUAUUGUAAGAUUACCUAAUCAUAAUAUAUUAAUAUAUUAUUAUACACAACAAACUUGUAAAAGAAUAAAAGGUAGCAAAAGGAAAUUUAUAUGUCUAACAAUUUUAUCCAUAUUAACAAUAGCUAACCUCAUGUAGUCAUGUGUCUACAACUCUAGCUUCUAUGAUGGAAUGACAAACCCCCCCCCCCCAAAAAAAGAUUCUUGGGGCUAGAUGCAGCAAACAUGCCCUAUGCACCCUCAUCUUCUUGUCAUACUAUCAUCCAAGGUUGAACUAGACUUGAUUAUGGGCCACACAACAUGACCAAUCUGUUUUGACCCGCCCAAAAGAAACCUAACCCGGUAGUGCAUCAGGUCAAGUUGGGGUCAUAAUAUUUGACUCAAGAUUGGAUCCAACCUAAAAACCUAAAGCAAAGUAGAAAAACCUGAGAAAUAGCUUGACAUGACCCUACCUGUCGUGCAUCAGGUCUAGCUUGGGCCAAAAAUUUUGAAAACCAACAUUUUUUCAACCUGACCCGACUUUGAAGGGAAAUUGGGCAAGACACAAAGUAUAGCUUGUGUAUCAAUGAUUUUAUUAUCUUUUCAUUUAACCAAUAUGCUUUUCUUUAAUGGCUACACAAGACAUUGAUUUUACCAACCGUGUUCAUCAAAUAACACAUAUCAUAUUCUAGACUCUCCAUGUAGUUGGUGGUUGGUGGCAACAGUGCAGGGCUCUAGUUUUUAAUGAUGAGUGGGUGUAGAAGAUGACCCAACACAAAUAAAAAAUAAUGGGAGUUUAUCAAUGUGAAUGAAAAAAAAGAAAUUACAACUUGUUGUUUGGAAAAUAACACAGAGAGGAGAGAUACAUUUGACAUAGGAUUUUUGACUCAUAGUGGAUCAUUAACGAUGAAGAGAGUUAGAAAUAAUCAAUUCAUUUUCUUUUAAAUAAAUUAAUAUUUGAUGAUAUGGACCCUCAUUCUACCCUAGGGCUUGAUGGCAUGCAUGUGGUAUUUUACAAAGAGUAUUGGGACUAGGUAAAAGAGGUGAUGUUAUAAAUAUUCAAACUACAUAUAUACAAAUGUACCCAACUUGGGGAGACUUAAAUAAGAUCAAAUCUCUCUAAUUCCAAACUUAAGGGAGACCAGUACUAUAAAACGAUAUAGGCCAAUAUACUUACUCAAUGUGGAUCACAAGUGGUUUACUAAAGUAUUAUUCGCAAACUCGCACUAGUAGUAGAGAAGAUCAACACAUACAUUCAAAGGGAGUGCUCAUAUACAUGAACUUUCAUACCUUUGGGGUGCAUAAAUUAUUCCCAUUUCAUGUGUUUUUCUCUAUGAAAAAACACUGAUUCAUGUGACAUUACUAUGUGAUUCCCAUGAAAUUCCUGCAUUCCAAAGGGACCGAGUGAAAAAUGCUAUUAUUUAAAGUUGGAUUUUGAUAAAUCUUACGAUAAGAUAGAGUGGAAAUUUAUAUGGGAGAUCUAGAGAGUAAAAACUUUGCUAGGGAAUGAAUGGAGAGUUUGGAUGAGACAACUUAUUUAAGGAAGAAGAGUGGGUAUCACCAGUGGCGUUCAUGGAAAUUCUUUUUAAGGGAUUGAGACAUGGUGAUCCACUCUCUCCAUUGAUGUUCUACCUUGUGCGAGAUGCUCUAUAAACUGUUGUGGGAUGCUAGGGAUUGUGUACAUAUUAUUAGAGGACUAAUUCCCCAUCAUAUAGAUGGAUGUAUUACACUUAUAUCCUGCAUAUGAUGCAUUCAUUUUUUAUUGAAAAUGAUGGAAGGUAUUGCUAACAUCAAAUUUCUGUAAUGUUGUUUUGAGACUAUAUUUGGCCUAGAAAUCAACUAUCAAAUGAAUGAGGUGUUUAUAGUAGGAAUUAAUGAACUCGAGUAGGAAAAAUUAUAGAUGUUUUUAACCAUAAAACAAGGCACUUAUGAAAUACCUAGGCAUUCUAGUUGAUGUGUAUUAUACGAAUAUGGAGAAGUUUGGGUAUGUCUACCAAAAAAUAGAGAAGAGAGACCAACAUAGCAUAGUUGUAUGCUAUCCUAUAUGGACGAAAAAUAAUUUUGUGCGAAUCAUGCCUAAGUUCAAUCCCUAACUAUGUGAUGGGUAUGUUCAUUUUUAUGAGUGCACAAAUGGAAACUUCUAGAGAAACCUUUUUAUAACAUGGGCAAGGAAUAAAAAAGGCAUCAUAUAGUGAAAUGACGUAUUUCAUACACCAAAAGAGAGAUGGGUUGACUUGCUUUUACUUACACCAGAGUGAUGAAUAAGCGUCUUCUAGCGAAAUGGACAUACAAAUUGGAAUAGGGAGACAAUAGUCCAUAUUGUGAGUUGCUCAUAAACAAGUAUUUUGGAGAAAAAGUUUCUUUAGUUCUAACGACUAACGUACAAUAGAGGUGGUUCAUAGUUUUGAUUUGGGCUACAAGAAGCUAAAAAUGAGUUUCUAAGAUGAUUAAAUCACAUAGUUCAUAAUGGGAAAAGACAAGAUUUUGGCUAGAUGUUUGGUAACUAGUAGGAUUGGACUAUGGUAAAAGUAAUGAGGGGAGAUAAGAUGAAGUUAAGUUUUAGGAGGAAUAUUGGCACAAUUGAAUGCUCAGAAUGGGAUGAGAGCAGAUCUAAUAGACUCAGUUAUACUUAGUGAUGAGGCAAAUACACUAUCUUGGGCGCUUGAUAAAUCUAGAGAAGUGUAAGCUAUGUGGACUAAGAGAAACAUGCGAUCAUAUUAUUAUUAAGUGUAUUGUUGCACAUUUUGUUUGGUGGUGUUAUAUAGAAGUGCUUCUGGAAUACUAUGCCAAUGUUCACACAAAGAUUUUCUAGUUGGAUAUCAUGUAUGCUCAAAAUAAAAGGAAGAGAGAGAUUUUGAUUUACUUGCUGGAGUGUAUAUGUUGGAGUCUCUGGUUAUUAAAAAUGGUAAAGUAAUAGAAAUGUAGUUGUGACUUCACCUCACCAUUCAUUGUUCUCUCUGAUUUUUAUGUAGACAUGGAACAUUCUCCUAAAGGCACAAUAUCGAUGAUGGGUGUGUUCCAUGUAGUUUUAUGUAGACAUGGAACAUUCUCUAGCACCUUCAACAAGCGAUGAUCCUGCGCCUUCAGGAGAAUGUUCAAUGUAGUUUUAAUGUAGAGGGAGUUUCCGUAUGGUUGUGAUAACAUUUGCUUCAUAAGUUUGUGUGACAAACCCUAUAAGCUAGUGUCCCAACCUAAAUUGCUUUCUAUAUAAAGUUGGGCUGAUCUGUCUAUGGUCUAAAAAAAAUAAAGGAUAUGAGAACUGGAAAACCUCAUCAAUGGAUUUCAUGGGACUUUGUGAGCAAAUGAUUGGAUAACCCAUGACACCACGUAGAUUCAAAUAUGAUGGCGAUGAUGGAGGUGGUCAGGGUUAGGGUGCUUAAGGGGUUUUCCAUGUACGGUUCUAAUCGCUAAUACCAAACUUUGAAGUUGCAACUAAGAAAUUAACGGCGGUGGUCUAGGAAGCAAUAUAAAUGGGUGGUGCCAAUUGUCAAGAGACCAUUAUACAACAAAUGCAUGGUGAUAAAAAUAUUUGUGGCAACCUAGUGGUGCAGGAACAAGAGGUGGCAAUGGUUUGCUUGGAUGUUGCCGGAGUUACUAGCUUGUUGGUGGACGAAGAGGAGAUUGAGAUGCGAUAGGGCAGCCAUGAUAUUACUAGAGUAGCCAAAGGCAUCAGUAGUAGCAUGCUAUGCUUAGCUUGCAUCGUUACAAAAUAUAUAUAUGAUGUUGUUAGUUUGGAUAGCUACCUUGCAAUCGUAAUAUAUUUUUGAGUGUUCACAACUAAUAAAUGACUAAUGGCAAUAGUCUUAACAAAGUGAAUAAUACCGACAACAUGAUUUUUCGAGUGCAUAUUACUUAUUACACAUGAUUUUAGGUUUCGUAAGCUAAAUAUUGCAGAGGAUAAGCUUAUUAUCUUUCAUACAAAGAAAAGAAACUUCAAUAUAUCUCCUUAUUAGUCAUGAUAUAAAUCCACGAUGUGCAUCAUUUCAUAAGAUAUAAAACGGUGUGGAAGUCUUUGCCAUAUACCACUAUCGCAAUUAUGACCAAUAAUUAUCCCAUGACAAUUUGUAGAAAAAGGAUAGCAUAAGAAAAUUUAGAUGGUAUAUUUCCUAUAUAUAUAUAUAUUUUAAAUUAAAGAUGUUUUGGCUUUUCUCCUAGAUACAUAUAUUUGUUUUAUUACUAUGUAUUUAGACACAGUGUAUGUCUAAGUAUAUAGCAAAAGAUACAUAUCUAGAAAUAUUAAAAUAUCUUAUAGUUUAGAACAGAAGGAGCAGUAGACUUAGCCAUAUCUACAUACUAUUGCUAACCUUGUGUGUCUAGAGGCUACAACUCGGCUCUAAGAUAUUUUACAAUAAGCUCGCAUGUAAUCUAGAAUUUUUUAGAUAGUGAUUUUGAAGAGACGACGAACUCCAAAAGAUUCUUUAGAGCAAAAUUUACAGGACCAAACCGUUAAUCUUCUGGCCACAUGAACUAAUCCGGCUGUGUGAAGGGGAGAAAUAUUGACACACCGUGUAUUUUUUUUUUGAGUCACCGUGUUAGUUCUUUCGAAAAUUAUGAUUUUUAGCGUCACAAUUUUGACCAUCGGCUGUAACGUCUCUCAAUGGGUUAGGUAGUGGGGUACAUACGACAUAUUUUACCAACUCUGUAAACAUCGUCAAAAUUAAAUAACUAGUAGCAUCAUCAUCAUUACUCUGAUGCGUUUCAAGGAUGCCGCCAAAUUUAGGCGGCGAAAUGCCAUUUUGAAUUUCAAUUUCAAAUUCCCCGUGGGCGCAGCCGCGGCCUGCACACCAGGAUACCCUCCCAAGCCGCCGCCGCCGCCGCCGCCUCCUCCUCAUCUUCUUCCUCCUCGUGUUCGUCUUGUUCCCCUCCGGCCGCGCAGGUUGAUUUGAGCGGCCGGCGUCGAACCGAAUCCCAUCCCAGGAGGACCAUCAAAAGCCGCCGCGCGCAGACAUCCAUCCAUCAUCCCAUCCCGCCCGUGGUCGCCAUUGCUCGCCGCACAGGGCAGACGUGUGCACACCGCACACGCCAACUCACUCGCCAAGAACAGAAGAGGGAACAGGAAACUGACGAGCUGACGAGAGGGCGAGAGCGACAAAAAAAACUGACCCUUUCUCUCACGUUAAAAUCCCCCCCGCUCCCCGUCUGCGCUCUCCACACCCCCCAGCAAUCCCUACCCUAAUCCCUCCCCCGCCGCCGGCGCCCAGAUCGCAUCUGCGCCCUCGCCGAUCGCCUCCCGUAACCCCCACACAGCGCAAGCUCCUCGCGCCGUUCGUCGAUCGCCGGCUGAAGCGCCCGCCGCCUGUAAGCGGUUGGCCGCCGGGAGGAAGAGAGGCUCUCCGCUCUCGUAGCGUGUUUCGGAUCGGGCUCCCGCGAUCGACCAUGGUGGACGUCGCUGAGUGCUCGGCGGCGCCCGUGCCCGUGCCCGAGGACGAGGUCGAGCCGGCGCACCCGGACCCCUCGUCGAUCCCGCCCGACGCCUGGCGGCGCUUCGAGAGCGCCGCGCUUGGUGUGGUGAACAAGAUCCAGCCCACCGUCGCCUCCGAGAACUUCCGCUCCGCCGUCAUCGACUACCUCAAGCGCCUCCUUGGAUCCCGCGCAGGGGUUCAGGUACUCUACUUGCUCUGCUCUGGAUCUACCUUCCCUGCGGCUACAGUUUUGUUUUGCAGUCCUAGUGUUCUAGUAUAGCUUAGAGCUCUCGGGCUUUACGCAUCAGUGUCUAGAUGUUUGCUCAGUCUCUGCUGCGAUAUGAGCAGCCAUAUCUGGGUGCUUUGGGAGGAAUUUAGUCACUACUGUCUCAGUGCCCUUGUUCAUGUUUUAGGUCAUGGAAUUGAAUAGUUAGGGUUAACAUGCUGGCUGUGUGUUCCUGCUGUAGAGUUGGUUGUUGCCAUUCUUGCCAUUUCAUUUUUAUGUGUUUUUUGGCGCGAAACCGGUAUAUAUAAGAGCUUGUGUUUUUAAAUUCUUGUCGUUUGUUGCGUGUCAAGGUGCGUGAUUAUGAGUAUAAAUGUGUAACGGUAUGGAUAUACUUUGUCGGUUGCGCACUUGAGUCUCUAUGUGAUUUGGUGAGUAGGACUACAGGACCUUUUAUGGCAUACAAAACCUAGAUGUUUCAUCAGUCUCUGCUAUGCUGAAAGCUUGUCAUAUCCUUCAGAUCACUCCAAUGGCUGUUUGGGUGCUUUAGGAGGAAUGAGUGCUUUAGGAUGAAUCAGUCAUUACUGUCUCAGUGUCCCUGUUCAUGUUUUAGGUCAUGGAAUUGAAGUUAGGGUAAACAUGUUGGGUGUGUUCCUGCUGUGGAGUUGGUUGUUGCGAUGCUUGCUAUUUAAUAAUUGCUGGCAUGUGAUUUUUGGUGCGAAACUGGUAAUAUAGCGAGCUCUUGUUUUUAAACCCUUUUCAUUUGUUGCUGGGGUCCUUUAGGUGUCAAGUGAUUAUUGGUGAUGAGAGUAUAAAUGUGUAACGGUAUGGAUAUACUUUGUCGGUUGUGCACUUGAGUAUCCACGUGAUUUGGCGGGCAUGACCUUUAAUGGGAGGGUGAACUAUGUGUUGGCAUGUGUUUUUGAGUACCGCAUUAAACGCAGCAAAAUUGUUGAUAGUGUAUUGGAGGUCUGGGCAUGCCAUUUAUCUUAGUGUCUGUUUUAGUGACGUGUCCCUUCAAACAUUGCUCAUGUUAUUUGGAAGGAGCAGCUUUGGCCUUUUGUUAUGCCUCUGUCAAGGUGUCAGGACAUCUUAAACUGAUUUAUUCUAGCAACCUGACUCUAUCUAAGAUACAUUAUUUGAAUAUAUAACAUGUAUAUCAUUAAUUGUACAUUCUUAAGAUGUGCUCUAGAAGCAUCAUAAAUUAUGGUACAAAUGAAUGAUCUUUGUGUUUGUACAUGUACAAAUAUUGAAUAUGUAACUGAGUAAAACAUGGAACUUUGUGAUUGAGUGGCGUUUCUGCAUUUAUAUACUUAAUUACUCAUAGAUAGUUGCUAGGAUUGAUUGUAUCGUGAAAGGAUUAUAUGUAAAUAGCCAUGAUAGUUUUACCAAAUUUAUGCUACAAUUGUUGUAGUGUGAUGAUUGUACCAAACUAUGAUCCUAUUCCUAUCUAUGAGUGAAUCGGUAGAUAAAUCUAGGAGUAUAUGGUGUAAGGGUUUAAAAUUUUACUCAUGUUUUUGACUUGGCUGUCGUUGUUAAGGUUGUUUUGGAUUGCUGUUCAUAUGAGUGGACACAUAGAUCUGGCAGACAUGUGUCACAAUUUGAGAGGUAAAUUGGCUACAAGGCUUACAGGGAUAAAUUCAGUUGUUUAAUAAUAAGCCACUAAGGCAUGUUUUAGUGGAUUACUUGUUUGCUUCCUCUGCAUGUGCCUGAGUGAGAUAUCGCAAUUUUACCAAGGUUUGGUGCUGUCUUAAUGCUAUAUUAAUGCCAUUUCAGAGGGAUUGUACUGCAAACUUAACCUUUACGUUUGUAAAACAUAGGUCUUCCCAUUUGGGUCUGUUCCACUGAAAACAUAUCUUCCUGAUGGAGAUAUCGACUUGACUGCAUUCAGCCCUGCGAUUUCUGAUGAGAAUCUAGCAAAUCAAGUCUAUGCUAUUCUAAGUUCAGAACAGCAUAGGAAGGAUUCUGAAUUUGAUGUCAAGGAUGUCCAGUAUAUCCAUGCUGAGGUAUUUCAAUUUACCAUAUUGCUCUGUGUUUCGAAUGCAUAUAUAUGCAAUUUGAGGUCAAACAUUGAUAUAUCAUCUUUUGGAUUUUUCACUUUACUGGAGGUGUUUGUUUCAUAUGACCACUUGUCUAAUUAACAUACUUCGAAAUCCCUGCACUCGUACAUAUGAACAUCGAUUUAUGUGCAUUAUGUAAAAAAAAUGGAAUUUCCCAUUUCUCUAUACUUGAAUGCAACUCUUUGUCUUGUUUAAUUAUGACAUCGGUGGAGCAUAUGAAUGUGCCGCUAUUUCUAUAGGUGAGAAUGUUAUUUCAUGUAUUGUUAUCCUAUGAUAAAUCUUCCUUAUGGGCUAUGGCAGGUUAAACUGGUAAAAUGUCUUGUACAGAAUAUUGUUGUAGAUAUAUCUGUGAAUCAAAUUGGUGGACUCUCUACGCUCUGUUUUCUGGAGAAGGUAAUAUUUCAAUGUUGUUUGGUUCUUGCUGUUGUCUUUCCUUAAACCUCAGAUCUGGUACUUGUAUAAUCCUCCUUUCCAAAUUAUAAGACGCUUUAACUUUUAUAUUAUAGACGCUUUAACUUUCCAAAUUAUAAACUACAUAUCUAGAAAAGCCAAAACAUCUUAUAAUUUGAAAUGGAGGGGACAGUUAAUAACAUAAAAAGCAUUUUACAAGGACUACUGCCUUCUUCGGAGUUGCUUAUGCCUUCAUUUACAGGUCGAUGAAAAUUUUGGAAAAAAACACCUGCUCAAACGAAGCAUAGUGCUUAUUAAAGACUGGUGUUACUACGAAAGUCGCAUCCUUGGUGCUCAGAAUGGAUUGCUAUCUACGUAUGCCUUGGAGGUUUUAGUUCUGUACGUUUUCCUUAUCUUCCACAGGUCCUUGGGUGGUCCCUUAGCUGUAAGUUUUGGCCUGAACUUUGCUGUUGCAUCUAUCAGUUUUUUGUGACCUUAUCAAAGUUCUUCAAGAUAGAGUACUUCCCAGGGGUGAAUGACUAUCUGCCCUUCUGCAGGUCCUCUAUAGGUUUCUCGAUUUCUAUAGUAAAUUUGAUUGGGAUAGCAAGGGAAUCAGCUUGUUUGGUCCUGUUUCCUUAUCUUCACUACCUAAUCUAGUUAGUAAGUAAAUGAACUCUCAAUAAUGCAGUAUGUUGGCUUGAUGCAACGUAAAUUUAUUGAUCAUUGACAUGACUUUUAUUCAACAGCUGACCCUCAUCUACCAGCUAUUGAUGAUGAUUUUUUUGUUCCACGGGAAAAGAUUCUUAGAAAAUAUGCAGAAGAUUUUAGUGCCCCUCCUAGAAACUCUGAGAGAGACGCACAAGUAUUUUCUCGGAAGUUUCUAAAUAUUGUUGAUCCACUGAAACAGAGUAAUAAUCUUGGACGCAGUGUCAACAAAGGUAUUGUUCUGCCUCUUGAUGUGAAUUGUGGUAGUAGGGACUAAUCAGGUACUAUGGUGAUUUCCUAAAAAGAUUCAAGCUUAAUUGUAUUAUUCCAUGUGCAGGGAACUUUUACCGAAUACGUAGCGCAUUUGAUUUUGGUGCUCGUAAGCUUGGGAAGAUUCUUCAAAUGCCUGUCUGUUAUACUGUCAAUGAAGUGAAUCAGUUCUUCUCGAACACAUUAAAGAGAAAUCAUACUGGGUUCAGACCAGACGACGGCAGUUCACCUUUAUACAGCAAUCCCUAUGGUGAUCUGUCUUAUCAGUUUAAUAACAUCUUGAAUGAUCUCACUGGAGAUUUCGAGAUAAACUUCCGUAAUCUUCAGUAUGCGCAAGGGUUCCAGCAAGUUAAUCCAGCAAACUCAUUUUACUAUGGAAGGCUUGCUCCACCACCCCUGCAAUAUCAGAACACGCACCCUUCAGAUAGUCAGGGAAGAAAAAAUCCACAUGCAUAUGCUAGCAUGAAUGGAGCAAUCCCUUGUCCUCCUUACCCAUCUGGUUGUCUUGCGUGGAGGCCAUUUAUUCAACCAGAUGAUCCUAUGGCUAUGAGGGCCCGUGGAAUAGGCACCUACUUUCCUGACCCAGUAUGUUCCCUCCAUGGACAUUCUAGAUAUGCUUGUAGAACUUAAAGUAACAUUUCUGAAUAAUCUGUAUCUGUCACUUGCCAUGUGUUCUUUUUGUUUCAAAUGAUGUACAUGUGCGCACAUAUUAAUGUUCUUCUAAUCUGUUUAUCAUUUUAUUAGAGUUACUAUCCUUUUUCAUAUGCAAUAAUCUUGAAGAUGUCUCCAUUAUGCUUAUGAGUUUACUACAUAGUAGAAUUACUUUAGGUUGGUUAGGCAUCAAAUUUGUAUUUGGACAGCUUUGUCUUGUAUUCGUGAUAAUUUUGUCUUGUUGGAUGCUGUAGAGAUUGUGCAAGGAUAGACCACCCGCUGGGCGUGGGGAGAGAGAAAAAAAUCAGUUCACCUAAAAUAAUUAUCAUCACUAUGUCAGAACAGAUAUGCCUGCAGUAUGGGAUCUGGUCAGGAAUUUGGGCAUGAGCUACCACAGAUACAUAUUACUGGUGCAACUGAUCAUGGAAUGCCGGCCAUCUCCAUCUCCCAACUCUCCAAGAGAUCAAUUGAAGGUACGAGUUCAUUCUCCAUCUUUCCAGGUUCGAAGGGAUAAUUUUCAUGGCAAUGGUUUCAUGCUCCCGCAAGACAGUAAACUUGAGUCUGGUACUUUUGACAGUAAACUUGAGGCUGGGACCUCUGGGGCGUUGCCUUUGGAAGUUACCUCCAAGGACCAUGCUAGCAGAUCAGAAUCUGCUUCCAGCAAUCAAGUUUUUGGACCUGUGAGUAUUGUUUCUAUUCUCUGAAACACUACGACAGGUUCCAACCGAAUGAGGUAGGUAUGGCAUAUUAUUUUCAUUGCCAGCACUAACAAUAAUUGUAUGACAGAAGUGAUGUUUAAUUUAGUGGACAUUUCCAUGCAUGUUACAACAAUUAGAUGUUUUACUCUCCGUUAGUUUAGUGUUUCUGCAAAGUUAUUUAGAUGGUUGUGAUGUUCACUGUUGGGCAUUAAGGCCAGUCUCAAUGUGAUUUCAUCAGAGUUUCAUGGGCAUUAAAUAUGCUGAUGUGGCACUGUAUUAAUGAAGUGAGAGAUGACAAGAGUUUCAUAGGAGCAGAGAGAGUUUCAUCCCCAUGAAACUCUUCCGCACUGUUUCCAAAAUCAGAUGUGUUGCAAAGUGGGACAUGAAACUCCCCAUUGAGACUGGCCUAAUACAUGGAGUAAAUUGUAUCGUAACCCCCUAAAACUUUUGAGUAUAUCUUACUGGGGUCCUUGGUCUUGACUCUUGAGAACCACAAAUGCAUACCCACUAACCUUAUAUAAUUGAGGACAGGGGAGGUUCAAUCCUUUGUGAUUGAUAAUUACUAACAAUGGGAGACCAUUCAAGUUGCCGUUGGUCACACUAUUAUUACCAUGUAAAUCAACAAAGAAUUGAUGUCCUUGGAUUUCGAUGUCUUUUCAAAUUUGUUAAUGCAGAUUUUACUAACUUACCAUUUUAAGCUUACUGAUGUAUAUACGUCUAGAUAUGUUUGGGGCUAUUAAUGUGCAUAUUCUCAAACCUAUGGGAUAUGGACCUACCCACACUUAUUUUUGAUUUACUCUAGCCACACUUGUUUUCAAGGCAGAAAACAUGCUAGUUCAGCUUAAAAAUGCACUCCUUUUCCCUCGUACCAUCCAUCUUGUAGGUUUUGUACUCAGUUUACAGAGUUUACAAUGUCUGACCCCGCACUGUACAAUUUUACAGGAUUGCGGAAUCAUAUCUCCUCAAGGACAACAUGGACUUCCCACCAUAUCCAGUUGAAUGUUGGUGGUGAUACACUGUAUGAACUGGGAGGUAACAGGCAACGCCGCACUAAACCACUAAGAGAAAAAUACCAAUGAAUGGUGUGUGCUUACUGCAGCAAUGGCAUGGAGUUGCUUCGUCGAAUUAGACACCAUGUUGUACAUCCUGCCACUUCCUUCCUGUACUCCAGUUGUCAGAUUCACCAGGUCGCUGCAAUCAGCCUAUGCUUCUUUCAUGUGCGAAAGGAGAAAAAAAGGGGGCCAACAAGAAAAGGAAGAAAGGAAGAAAGAUGGGGUGCUUGGACUUGAUGUGUAGAUACUUUUUACUGGUCAUGGCAGGGAAGAGAUAUGUUGGAGCGCUUGUUGGUUGUGUUGUUUUGAGCUAGGGAUGAGGGGAGCUGGAGCUUGCUAUGCCCAUGUGUAAAAUGUAAUGAGAAUAGUGUUGUAACCUCUGCUUGCAUUUGGAUGGAGGUCUUGUGUUGAAAAGCCCUGCUGUUUGAAGUAACUUUAGGUGUUUUAAAAAUGGCUAGGUAGACAGAAUAUAUUGGAUUAAUAGUGAAAAUUGAAGUAUUUAGUCUUUGCCAUAAGAAAAAUGGCUAGGUGGAGAGAAUGUUCACAUUCCAGUAAUCUAUGGAAUCUGUUUCAAUUUUAUGCUAGGUAAUGGUGUCUUAAGUGAGAAAAAAUUGUUGCUCAAAUCAUCUAAACGCAUAUAUGUGAUAACUAUAUGUAUCAGAAGAUAGAGAAGUAGUAUGCUAGCUAAUCUAUAAAAUUGUUGUUCCCUAGCAGAAAAGAAAGAAAAAAAAGGUUUUCUUCACAAACACAAACAAGGAUUCUGUUUGUCUUGUGAACCUAACAAUAUGUAAGGCAAAGUCCGUACUUCAGUGCACUGCACUGCAAGAUUACAGGUCUGUGCUGCUGAGUUGUUUUAUCUUUGUUUCCACUCGGUGAAAUGCGUGUAUUAGGGAAGGUCUAUGUCCUUUCGAUCAGUCUUGACCUGGUUUGCUUAGCAGCAAAACAGACAUACAAUCCACAGUAGUUUAGGGCAAUAUUUUCAUUUCAUGUCAUUUUCAAGACCCCAAUAAUUAUGUUUAUUCAUUCUCUAUAUGAGAUAUCACAUUAUAGCAAACAAUAAUUAUUUCUACUCAGAUUGAAGCCAUGCUAACCCGUGGUAUGUAUGUACUUCAAUUAUGCUCACUUCUGUAAUUUUGAUGUGGGACUGAGUCAUGUUCAAUGGUUCAUUUGGUUUACAUACCGCAGUGGAAGAAAAAUAAUCAACCAGACCAAUAUACAUUGUUGGCGUAAAUAGUAGUUUGUAAGAGGGCUUAUAUGUAAUAUUGAGAAGAAAAGGAUAAACAGACUCUAGUCUAGGAGUGAGCCAGCCAGAAAACUUCCCUCAAAUUUCAAUAUGCUAUCCAGAGCUAGGGUUAGGUUUACCUCAGGUGGUGGCACGGGCGAGUUGCUGUGACGGUGCGCCGGCAGGGGCUGCGCGGCCAGGCGAAGUGGAGGUGUGGUCGCGCGGGCCUGGCUCGGUGUGUGCAGGCGUGAACAGGAGCGAUGCGCGGGCAUAAGGACGUGCGUGCGGACCAGGUGGCACGUGUGUACGGGCGCGAGCUGCAAGUGCAGGCUGGGGCGCGAGGCUUGUGCUCGGCUGCUCGUGCAGGUGUGGGCGGCAGGCUUGUGCUCAGGCUAUGCGUGGCUGUGGUCAAGAGCAGAGAAAGAGGAGGCUAACAGGCUCCUGGUGUCUGC